CCUCCUCCAUAUGCAAGAAAAUUUUGUUGCGACGACUCCGAAUAUUAUCUUGAAUUUCCUGCAGCUCCAUUGUGGCAAAAUCCUGCACUGUUUCAGGCCCCUCUAUGAUACAAAAUCUGCACCAUUAAGCAUGUAAAAAUUAAAAAUUACAGGCUACAAAGCAAUUUCCGUAUAGUUGUUGGGUUAAAUAACAUCAACAGCAAAUAAAUCACAUAGGUUUUUCACAUAAAGUUACAAACUUUCAAGGACUAAUAAGCUGUCUGCAAUCUCAUAAAUUUCACAGUGCAAAGUAACAAUCCAAAGCUUGGAACUUUAAAUUUCCACCUUCUGUUAAUUUUUUAGUGCACCUGGUGUCGUUAGAUUCGAGUAGUAUGUCACAUUAAAUUUUUUUUUUCUGUGCAUGCAUUUUUUUUUAAAAGAAAAUUUUAUAUUGUUAAAGAGCGAGUUCGAAACUAUUACAUUAUGGAAGGACAUAGUACCGAAACUCCGACGAUCAAAAACAAAAUCAUGUACAACCACUCCAAGCAGUCAACAUGGCCAUCACAUAUUGAAUCCAAAAUGUUGACGCCCCAUUCGCUGCAUAUAAUGUACAGACGAGCGGCAGCUUCAACCAGUUCUGCCAUAUCCGGCUGGAUGAGAGCAGCUAAAGACAUGAUUGUUCCCUAAUAACAUGAAUAAAUUGAGUAAACACCAAAAGUAGCAGCAAGGGAAGGAGAUGUGAAGUAUAUGAAGAGGUGUAAGACCUGUGAAUGUCCAGCAACAAAGAUUUUGGAGCUUGUUGUCGAAUAAUGCAACGCAUCAUUUCUGGUAGAUCAAAUAGAGCCAAUUCCCGCCAACUCCAAUUCCAAAAUUUCUACAGUAAAGCAUAAAUCUUAUUCUCUCUUCUGAUAAAGAUGAGUGUCCCAGACUCCAACGUGUUCCACACACAUUCCCUACCCAUACAUCGAAACCUUCAUCUGCAAGGACGAAUCCCAGCGAUUCUUCUGGAGAAUUUAAGAAUCAUGCAUCACCUGGUUAAGAUCAAGAAAAGCCAGUAACCAAGUUCAAUUGAGUUAAAAUGUAUCCCAUGGAUGUUCAUCACUUUGCCCAAUUGUUCUUUUCAAGAAAGGAAAUUUCAACAGAACCUGAAAACUUCAGAUCAGGGGGCACCAAAUAGUGAGCUAUACAUUCAAAAUUUGAAAUAAUCAACUUAGUAGGACCAGUAUGUUGAAAAAAUGGGAAGGAGCUAUGAAAGUAAGACUUUUCACUAAUCAGGCGUCCAGAGAAUCCAUAUUUUACCCGCGUAUCAGUUACGGGGAACACUCCCCACCAGAGCAAUCUCAUUAGUCCUUCACAUCUCAACCGUACAGAAGUUGCACUAACAAACAUGACUCCUAUUAGUCCUUCACAUCUCAAAUCCAGGAAGUACCCAUCUUUCGUCUGAAUCUGGAAAAUAAGCAGCAGUCAAUUUAACAAUCUCGGUAUCUCAAAGUUACUCACUUUAAUCACAAAUUUAGCAAUUAAACAUAUAAAUGGGCAUUUUUUUAGGGAAAUAUUAGUAUAGUACUCACUGUGUGCUCGGAGCAAGAGUACCCAGAAAGCUCAAUGAGCUGCGCACAGAGGACUGCAGUGGUGAACGACAGCGACCAAUUCUGUAAAAUUUAGUCGAGUUUUGGGAAAUUUCUGCAGCGAUUUCGGAGGUCAAGAGGCUGAUAAGGAAAGCCGCGACCAAAGGGCACUGGUCUGGAAGAAAGGCUUUGGUCGCCGCUAUCGCAAUUCGCGAAGGAAGAAGUGCCCCAAAACAAUUUCGGCCCUGGACAGGUGCACUGUUUGCACUGAGCCAGGGCCGGCCCUGAAUCGCGAUAACGUCCUUCUCCAAACAGUAUAUAUACAGAUGCUAGAAAAAUCUACCGGAACUAUUCAAUUCUAGCGUCUACAGCUUUAGCAUUAGUUGGUACAAGGGGCAUUCUUCCAAAGAGGGAGAUGAAAUCGUUGAGGCACCAAAUAGUGAGCUAUACAUUCAAAAUUUGAAAUAAUCAACAUGGUAGGACCAAUAUGUUGAAAAAAUUGGAAGGAGCUAUGAAAGUAUGGCUUUUCACUAAUCAGGCGUCCACAUAAUCAAUAUUUUACUCACAGAUCAUUUACGGGGAACACUCCCCACCAAAACAAUCUUUUUAGUCCCUCACAUCUCAAACCAAGUAGAAAUUGCAGUAACAAACACAUCUCAAACCCAGUAAGUACCCAUCUUUCGUCUGAAUCUGGAAAACAAGCAGCAGUGGAUUCAACAAUCUGGGUAUCUCAAAGUCACUCACUUUAAUCACAAAAUUAACAAUUAAACAUAUAAAUGGGCAUUUAUUUAGUGAAAUAUUAGUAUAGUACUCACUGUGUGCUCGGAGCAAGAGUACCCAGAAAGCUCAAUGAGCUGCGCACAGAGGGACUGCAGCGGUGACGACGGCAACCGAUUCUGUAAAAUUCAGUCGAGUUUUGGGCGAUUUCUGCAGCGAUUUCGGAGGUCAAGAGGCUGAUAAGGAAAGCUGGGACGGAAGGGCACUGGUCUGGAAGAAAGGCUCAGGACACCGCUGUCCCGAUUCAUGAAGGAAGAAGUGCCCCCAAAACAAUUUCGGCUCUGGACAGGUGUACUGUUUGCACUGGACCAGGGUCGGCCCUGGCGAUAACGUCCCCCAAACAGCACAUAUACAGAUGCUAGAAAUAUAUAAAUGUAACCUGAAACUACUAGAACCAUUCAAUUCUAGCGUCUACAGCUUUAGCAUUAGUUGGUACAAGGGACAUUCUUCCAAAGAGGGAGAUGAACUCAUUGAGGCUCUUAUUUAUUCCUCCUCUUGAUGUGCCCUUUUAGGCUGCUAAUUCCACACGAUCCAAUUUCAUACAUCUUCCCUGCAAAAGCAUGUGUGCCUGACUUCAAGAUCAAAUUUUUCCAACAAAAGAAACUUAAAGAUCAAACUCGCUAGCGGAAUAAGUGGUGCACAAGGGUGUUAAAAUCUUGACAUAUGUAUAUUUUUGGCAGAUUUUAUGUGAGCAUGCAACUAAAACUGGCAUCACUAUCAAUGGUGCACAAAGAUUGGUGGAAAACUUUAACAGUUUGAGUUGUAACUUCUCCAUUGUAUUUGUUAAGGCAAGACGGAUGUCAUCUAUUCAUUUUUCUGUAAAACUUAAAAGGCUGCAUAGCAGCUCUUGUUCGUUGUAUUGAAUACCAUGGUUUUACUGAUGAAUGCAGAGUUUGCUGAUGAUUCAUACGACAAGCAAUUGAAAAUCCCAUCAUUAUGCCCCGCAUAUACCAGAAGAAAAAAAAGUCAUUUACACAAAUUCAGAGCGUUCAUCCACUGUAAUUUGCAGAUAUGGAAACGUUAAGAUAAAAGGAAAUGCAAAGUACCUUUCACCCAAAUUGGAGGAGCAACGGUGGCAUUAGCAAGCUAGCAACGGGAAUUGACAUACCAAUAUCUUCACAGUUUCUGCACAAGAACAAAUCAAAAGAAUCCGGCGGUGGAGUUAUGUACCUCUCCUUGGAAAAUGCCACCUCCUGGGAUUUCAAAAUAUACGGCCGUGGCUAGCCGUCUGACCACGCCAAUUCCACCAAAGCCGCCGCAACGUGGCGUAGUGUCCGGUUGAUUGCUUCAAAACAGAGCUUCGUAUCCAUGUGUUUAUCAGCAGAGAGUACCCAAAACCCCUGAAAAUUAUUUCUUUAUUCAGAUAAUAAAAUUUCCCAAAUUUCGAAUUUUAAUUCCGAACAAAAAAAAUAGGGUUUGAAUUUUGAUUACCUAGAAAUUGGGGGGUUGGGGUGGAGAGGGACUCGGGCCAAGACACAGAUAUGCAUCCGUGAUAAGGUGUGCAAGGCUUUUGCAGUUUCUCAGAUCUAAACACUGAAGCCCCGUAAGCCGUUCAAUCCAGGGGGAAAGCUCUUUAAUAGAUGUUCCAUCCAAGAAAAGAAAUCUUAAUCCUUCCAUAUUUUCUUCAAUGCUUGGAAACACCUCAAAUUUUGUACAACCGGAAAGAGAGAGAAAGGCAAGGGACUUCAGCUGACAAAUGCUACUUGGAAGACUCUUAAGUUCUUUACAAUUUUCUAGCUUCAAAUGAUUCAAUCCCAUGAGAUUAUUAAUUGAUAAGGGCAGUUCUUUAAUUUUCGACCCAGAUAAAUCAAGAACUUUUAACCCCUCAAUCACUUCUGAAAUCUCUGGAAACAUCUCAAGACUCCAGCAACCAUAAAGAUCAAAGGUUUUGAGAGAUUUCAUAUGAAUGCUGCUUGGAAGACUCUUAAGUUCCUUGCAAUCUUGUAGAUUCAAAUGACACAACCUCGUAAGAUUAUUAAUUGACGGGGACAGUUCUUUAAUUUUUGAGCAGGGUAAAUCAAGCUUUUCUAACCCCUCAAUACCUUCUGAAAUCGAUGGAAACAUCUCAAGACUGGAGCAGCCAUAAAGAUUAAAGGUUUUCAGACAUUUCAUAUGAAUGCAGCUUGGAAGACUCUUAAGUUUCUUGCAAUCUUUUAGGUUGAAAUGACUCAACCCCGUGAGAUUAUUAAUUGACAGGGGCAGUUCUUUAAUUUUGGACCCGGAUAAAUUAAGCUCUUCUAACUCCUCCAUACCUUCUGAAAUCUCUGGAAACAUCUCAAGACUGGAGCAGCCAGAAAGAUUAAAGGUUUUGAGAGAUCUCAUACGAAUUUUGCUGGGUAGAAUCUUAAGUUCCUUGCAAUUUGAUAGGUUCAAAUGACACAACCCCAUGAGAUUAUUAAUUGACUCGGGCAGUUCUUUAAUUUUGGACUCGGAUAAAUUAAGCUCUUCUAACUCCUCCAUACCUUCUGAAAUCUCUGGAAACAUCAGAAGACUGGAGCAGCCAAAAAGAUUAAAGGUUUUGAGAGAUCUCAUACGAAUUUUGCUAGGUAGAAUCUUAAGUUCCUUGCAAUUUGAUAGGUUGAAAUGACUCAACCCCAUGAGAUUGUUAAUUGACUCGGACAGUUCUUUAAUUUUGGACCCGGAUAAAUCAAGCUCUUCUAACCCCUCAAUCACUUCUAAAAUCUCUGGAAACAUCUCAAGGCUCACGCAGUUAAUAAGAUCAAGAGUUUUGAGAGAUUGCAUACGAAUUUUACUAGGUAGAAUCUUAAGUUUUUCGCACCCAUUCAGAUCCAAUAAAACAAGUUUUGUAAGAUUCGAAAUAGAUGGGUGAACCUUAACUAACCCUAUACAACCAUGAAGAAUUAGCCUCUCAAGAUUUGGCACAUUUGUGAAGUCAGGGGUUUCCUUAAGGUAUUCACAAUAACUUAAAUUGAUGAAUUUCAACUUUUCCUGCGUCUGUUAAAACAUUCAGGAAAACAUGCAUUACUUAAUAAGACAUCUCACUCAAAGCCCAAACAUUUAAAAGAAACAAAUACAUGUAAAUGAUUGUACAUACCUGGGUUCCUUCCCAAAGUCGGUCAAUGUGGCUAUAUUGCAUGUCAAGUCCAACAAGAUUUUCGAAUUGAAAGUUGGAUGGCAAAGACUUGAGCGGGAAACAAGACCAGGAAAGAAACCUCAACUCACUAGAAACAAACUUUAAGGACCCAGUCAGGUGUUGUAUGCUGAAAGUACCGAUCUUGAGAAGUCUUAGUUUAGUCAUCCUAUCAAAAGCUUUAACAAUUAAGCAUCCCUCAUAUGAGUGCCCCAAAUCUAGGAUUAUGCUUUCAACUGUUUCUGUACCCUGUGCAAAUCAAAGGGAAGGAAAAAGCAGAGAACCUUAGUUUAGAUUAUGAAGUUAAUGCUUGUUUCUUAAGGAGUUGUUUGAUAAUAAUUUUGUUUUCACUUUUCACUUUUGUUUUGAUUAUUUAUUUAGAAAUCUGAAAAUUGAAAACAUAUAACUUGUUUGUAAUUGUUUUCAAUUUUCAAUUAUUAAAAAAAUGAAAAUUUAAAAAUAUAAAUGGAAACAAAAGUGGUUAUCAAACGAGCUUAAGAAAUUGAUUUUGGUCAAAAGUUGAAGCUUUCUACUAAACAUUGCAUAAGAAAAGAAAUUAUCACCGUAUUUUUAGUUAUCACAUGAAAAACAUCUUCAUAACUCCACAACCUACUUCGUCUCCCAGGCUCUUUGAUAGAUUCUUGGUAGACGAUUUUCUGACCCAUUUCCUCUAGUAAAUCAUGCAUCUCCAGUUCCCCCCUCCAUGAGACAGUUACUAGAGCUCGAUCGAUUAGAACUUUUAUUCCAAUAUCAGGAUAGGAACCACAGCUGUGCAGAACUGUGGUUGCAUAGUCUUUUCUCAUUCCUUUAAAGAAACAUGCAAUAUCUAGAAAGAUAUCCUUCUCCGUGUCAUCUAGUCCAUCGAAGCUUGUUUUAAGCACAUCAUGAAUUCCCUUUUGCGGGAUUUUCUUUAUUUUUUCUAACUCAUUUUCCCACUGGCGUACAUUUUUGUUAUAAAGAAAAGCUCCCAAGACUUUGAGUGCUAAAGGCAGACCUUGAGCAUAAUUUACAGCACGACUCGAGAUCAUCAUAAUCUCUGUUGGGUUGGUUUUUUCUAAAGGCGUACCGCCUAAAGAGUUCCAGAGCUCCAUAAUCACUUAAAAUCUUGGGAUUAUAUAUCCCAUCAGCUAUGCUUAGUAAUUGCGAAUCUCUGGUUGUUAUAAUAAUUCUGCUUCCACCACCAAAGGAAUGUGGCUCUCCAAGUAAAGCUUCAAUUUGUUCUAAUUCUUCCACAUCAUCAACAACAAUAAGAACUUUUCUCCGACCUAGACUAUUUAACAUCACCUGGAAACCUUUAUUCGAAACGUCGGAACUCCCCACCCUGUUGUUCGAGAUACUCGAUAGAAGUUCUGCCUGCAUAUGUAGUUUGCCAUGCUUCAUGAAACCUUCCUUGAAAUUUUCAAGAAAGCAACAAGCUUUAAAUCCACCAGAGAUUUCAUUAUAAAUAGCUCUAGCGAUGGUUGUUUUGCCUAAACCACCCAUACCCCAUAUUCCAACAAUGCGAACAUCAUUAGUUUCAACUCCAGGAGGAUGCAGUAAUGAAUGCAUGUUAUGCAUAUGAGAGUCCAUUUCAACCAAGCCAUUAUAUUUGCUUGAGGAUGAUGAGAUGUAUCGCCGACCCCACUUAGUGGGAAAAGGCUUUGUUGUUGUUGUUGUUGAUGAUGAUGAUGAGAUGUGGAUCAAUUUCUUAAAAACAUCUUCUACAAUUUUCUCAAUAAGCUCUGCAUCAUCCCUGUCAAAUUUAAAACACAAUAUAAUUACAACACCAAAUGAUACUUAAUGGGUCGUUUUGAUAACAAUUUCGUUUGCAAUUUUUUUUAAAUCUAGAUUUUAAGUUUGCAGAUUUUGUUUUCAGUUUUUAGUUUCAAUGAAAGUAGUUAUUAAACAAGGUUUCCAAUUUUUCUUUCAUGGUAUACAGUACGUAGUCCCAAAUAUCAGUAGUUAGAUCUUGCAUUUAGAUCUAAUGGGUAUUUACAACCUUUUUUCCUGAGAAUUUUGUACCAUUGUAGCCAGAUCACAUGUUUUCAUCCGUUAGUUUUAUAAAAAUGGAAACUACAAACUUAAAAAAAAAAAAAAAUAUAUAAUAUAUAUAUAUAUAUAUAUAUAUCAAAUGGCCCCUAAAUGCUAUUAAAAAUCUCAAAAAUUAACAGGAAACUAAAACAAAUUAGAAUUUAUUCAUGGUUUCGCAAAUCCCAGCCGGAUAAACUGGUGGCCGUUGUAAGAGAGGACCUCCAGCCGGAUAAACAUUUUCGAGUUAUUUGAUAUUUGUAUAGUAAAAAUACUUUAAUAGCAAGUGCGCGUGAGUGAAGAAAUUGAACUUACUUAUAUUCUUUCGAAUCCCAACCGGAAAAAUUGCAGGCUCUGGGAAGAGCGGACCUCCAGCUCUGCACCUCCUUCACGUCAACGUUAGAACGACCUUCAUGUUUAGCAAAAGCUUCUGCAAAACUUCCCUCGAGUUUACGAAUAUUGGACGGAUCGACUUGGUAGAAAAUGGGGAAUACAAUCUGGUUCUUGGAAUGGUUGCAUUCCAAGAUUUCCACGAGUUCUUUCAAGCACCAUGUGGAUGAAGCAUAGUUUUGAGAGAAAACUACAAUCGAAAUCCUUGACUCUCGAAUCGCUGUCAGGAGCUCGGAAAGGCGGUCGCCUUUUCUGAGGUCUUCGGCAUCAAUGAAGGUGUUGAUUGGUUUCUGACGCAGAGCUUUGUAGAGAUGGCUGACGAAGCCCGUGCGAGUGUCUUCCCCUCUAAAACUGAUGAACACAUCGUAUUCCCAACCAAGGCAAGAAGAAGAAGAAGAAGCAGCCAUUAAUCGAUCUCACCUGGGCAGCGAUGAUCGAGCAGCUAAGACUAAGAGAAUUGUAAGUACAGAAACACUCAAUAGAUCUACAAAUUGGAUCACCAGAAAUUAGUCAAUGAGUCAAUGCAAAAGGGAAAAGGGCAAUUAUGCUUUUUGCGUUUUCACAUCUUCUUCAGGAAAUUUCGGUGUGAAAGGAAUCCGCAUACUUUUGAUUUUUCAACCCAAGAAAAUGCGAAGAAAGGGGACAAAGUAGUAAAUUUAAUCUACAGUUAGUUACCUACUCAAUAACCUCUUGAUUUAAUAUAUAUUUAAUUGGGAAAAGUAGUUUAGAGCAAGGAUGUUAUCUCCUUUUCUUCUCUCUCGAUCAGUCAAUCUUCCCGCGUGCGAUUUAAUCAUGAUUAAAGCUAAGCUUAAUCUUAGGUCGUAUUAUUUAGGUCUAAUUGGAUUCUUAAUUCUUGUGAUAUAGUAGUUGGAAGAUUAAAAAAAAAUUAUGAUUUAAACGUUUGUGAUGAAGUCUGUUACGAUUUAAAUUCAAAAUUGAAAAUUUCGUUAACUCCAUUAAUUGUUAGCACAUGAGACUCACAAAUGAAACUAAAAAUAUAAAGUUAGCCUCACAUGUAAUCUUCACGUGCUAACAAUUAAAAGAGAGUUCCGUUUUAGCUUAAUAUAUGUGACUCACGUGUUAAUAAUUAACAAAAUAUUAACAAAAAUUUUAAUUUUAAGCAUAAAUUCAAAUAAACUUCACCACAUAAGCUUAAAUUCUAAUUUAGAUAUCUUCUAAUUUAGAUAAUUUUUAACUGCAAGAUGUACGAUGAACGGAUAUAAUUCACAAAUCUCCAAAAUCCUUACAAAAAAUAUCCGAAAAAGAGCCAAAUUCAAUGGAAAUAAGCUAAUUUUGAAUCAAAUAACAUUACUUUAUUUUGUAAAUAAAUUAAUUUUGAAUUGAACAACAUUCAUUUAUUAUGUAAGUAAUUCAUUUUGUAUGUAUCAUCAUAUAUAUUAGGCACAUUUUAUCAUAGGUGAUUUUGUGAAAAAUUAAUAAAAAGUUACAAUAUUAACAAUAGAUCAAUAAUAUUUAUGUUAAUUAUAAAUAGGCUAACCAUGUAUUAUGAUACUUAAAUGCAUUUAAAAUAAAUAAAAAUUACAAAAUCUACUACUACAGCUAGCAUUCACUUCAACUAAAGCAAUACGUAGUUUUUAUAUUUGGAAUAAGUCAUACGAAUCAGAGACAUGAAGAGGUGUAAGAACUGUGAAUGUCCAACAACAAAGACUUCGGAGUUUGUUGUCGAAUAUCUGCAGCGCAUCAUUUCUGAUAGAUCAAAUCGAGCCAAUUCCCGCAAACUCCAAUCCCACCACCACCUUUCAAGCCGGACUCAGCCCUCCGGGCGGCAUUUGGCAGGACAGCACUGGAUCAAACAAGAUUGAGACUGGCAGUGGGAGCAAUGAACGAGCACACUCAGCAGGGAAGUCCAUCAUGGGUUCUAACCACACAUUGUUUCUCUACUUUGUGGCUUCCAACACGAUUGGAUUUUUUGUUUCACUUUACAUGAUCAAUGUCCUCACCAGCAAUUUCCCUCUGCAGUUGGAGCUUCAAAUUUGUAUUGUCGCGAUGUACAGCACGUACAACACUGCAGUUUUCAGCAUUGCACCGGAGAACGUGCGCUUCUUCGUCCUUCUGUUCUCUGUAGUUUUCCCAACUUUGGUUACACUUGCUGUCCAAAAUGAUCGUCUUUCGACAUACAUCACAAUGGCGAUCUUUAAUCAUAAUGACUUGUACUGCUCGAUCAAACGAGACGCAUGGAGGCGCGACGUAGGAGCCACGGUGCAGCCCAAACUUUGCAGAUAAGAAAUCUGGUAAUUCACAGCAUCACAAACAUGUUACUGGGUCUCCUGACCAUCGUAGAUGCCAAUGUGUGCACAAGGAAAGGAGUAAGGUAAUCAAAUGCUUGAGUCUUGUGUACCUGUUUCGGUGUUGGUUCGGAUGAACCCAUUGAGUUCUCGAUCCUUAACUUCUGGAAAUGCUCCUGAAAGCAUAAAUAUAUGUACGGAUUUAAACCAAUGGCAAAUGGACAUAAUUUACGGACAAUGAUUGAAGAAAAUACAGAUAUAAACGCCUCAGUAUUCCAUUGACGAAAGUUCUAGAUUUGAUGAAUCAAACGUCCCACGUUGAGACUGCGUUAAGGCAAAUGGUUCUCAAACACAAAGCAAUAGUUUGCUACCGAAAACAACCAAAGUCUGACAAAGGGAACCGUCUUACACCUAACCUGUUUUUCCCUCAUCAAAUGAGCGCGUUGAUCUGCAGGUAUUUUCUGCCAUCUCAAAACCUGUUACAAAGAAAUAUAACGUUGAUGUUGAGCUGGAUAGCAUAUUAUACCAAUUAUGUGUACAAACCUAUUGAAAUAAAGUAGCUGUAGUUGCAUAUUACGACAGAUAUUAACGAAAACAAAAGAAGGCUCGCCUAUUCAAGAUCCUAAAUCCCAUGAUUCUUUUGUUUUUAGUUUCAGAAAUUUUCAGAGCACAAACUGGAAAGUACCAAGAUACUUACAUAUUGGGCAUAAUGAAAUGCAUCUUCAUCUUUCAAGCAAGAUUUCAGUGAGCGCAAACCAUCCUGGGAGUUACAUAAGUCAAUCAGUAAUAUAAAAACGUAGAUGCAUCACAUCCAAACACAAGUAUUCAAACACCAACAACUUCUUCAUGCGGUGAGGCAUGUUAAAAAAUAGGGAAGAACAGUUAUUGAAUAGGAAGUUAAAGGACUAAAUUUAUGACCUUGUGUUUGUAGUUCUUGGCUCGUAUGCGUUCAUCUAUUACAAAACCAAUCUGUAACAGGUACAACAGAAAAUAUAAGCAGUAGUCAGAACAUUAAGCAUCGGCAUUCAAAUUGCCGCCAAUCCAAAGUUAAAAGUCUAAAGGCAAAACAGUAUGAUUCUUAUCUCUCAAACAAAAAUGAAACUAUACCCCGGUCUCAGACAUAAAUGAAAUAAGUUCUACUGCCUCAACUGAGUACUGUGAUUAUAUAUAAAUCCAAUUCACCUUGUCAAGUAAUCUCUUAGGAUCUUGAAAUGCUUGCUUCUUAGCCCAGUCAUUAAAUACAUGCGAGAUAAUCGAUCUCUCAUCCACACUGAAUCUAUUGCACAGUGACAGGAGAAUAAAGUCAAACAUGAACAUAACCAACCAAAAAUGCUAGUUAUAAUAGUACACCCAUAAUUGCAAGCAAAACCUUUUUAAGAAGCCAUUUCCAUGGUUUUCCUCCCCAAAUUCCAUCAAUUCUGCAGAGGCAACGUCAAAUUUACUAUGAUGGAGAUCAUUUUGCACCAUAACAACUUCAGAAGGUAGGAGAUUUGGUUUGAGAUCAUCUGUUGACGGAGUAGUUUCUUUUGAAGUGUCAUGAUGCUUUGAUUGCAAGCCUUCUGUACUUACGUCAGCCUACAAAACAAAAAUUGCAUUCAUCCACACUAGACUUAAUAAGAUUAGAAACACUUCAGAUUCUUCACUAUUUGUAAGUUUGACUAAACAGCAGAACAACUGAGGAUAAUGAACAGUAAUACACACCUGGACUUCUCGUAGAUGAUUUGGAAUUUCUUUCAGAAAUCGCGAAGGUUGAAGCAUCUGAAGGAGCCACCUUCUCAGUCAGAGCAACAACAACAAAUAAGGAGGACAGGAAUUCAAGCUAAAACGAACCUGCCAACUGGAAUCCAUCGUAACAUAAAGAAUGAAAAGCUUUUUUCGAGCACGAGUCAUUGCAACAUAUAAUAGGCGUCUUUCCUCCUAUGAUUAGAGUGGGAUUAUUGAGUUAUUGACCAAAAGAAAAAAGAGUGGAAUUAUUGUGACAAACACUUCAAAGCUCUGCAUAUAACUGAAAAAUGUUGAACAAUUUACCACACACCUCAAUGGAGGUCCCAUUUUCUUUUGCAACGCCAUUGAAUUCAUGCAACAACGGAAUCUCAGAUUCAUUUACCUGUGUUAUUGGCAUGAGCAUUAAAGCAAGCUAAGAUGAUUUGAAGAGGUUGAUAUUGUCAUGAAUAUAGUAGAAUAGAAUACCAAUUUCAAGCCAUCAAUUAGGUAUAGCAUUGGCAUGUUUAAUCCGUAAAUCUAAUGACAGAACACCUCAACUCUACACAUAAAUAAAUAAACAACCUGAAAAAUAUUACAGCCACUUGUUAAGGCAAAUACCUUAAUUAUGAAAACUAUAUCCCACUCUAAACCUUUUGACUGCAAGAGAAUGAAAAAGAAAGACAGUAAGCCAAGAAUGUUUUGUAGAACUCCAAAGGAAGUCCAAUAGGGAAAUCAUCGCAAGUAUAAGAGUUAGCGAGGUUCGCAUAAGAGGAUAUCAAAAAGAUCUAGAACCUGAUGAAUAGUAGUCAAAGUGACAGAACUUUGGUUGUCAUGUCUUCGGGAGUGAAAAUUUUCACUCUCCCGCUCAGAUAUGUAGUCGAUGAAAGCUUUGAGUAAAUUAACGCAGCCUUUUUCUUCUGCUACGACUUCUCUCUCCCCUUUUCCCGCAACAAAAUGAGUUGAUAAGAAAUCAGAUACGUCGUCUAGUAGGUACUGAAGAACCUGCAAUGAGAAUAAUCGCAUCAAAACAACAGGGUUGGACCAAGAUUUAAGUGACAACAAUGAUUAACUAACUAAAAUAGAGAAAUUAUUCAUUUAAGACCUUGUUGACUGAAAAAAGGGUUUUCCAAGCAGCGGGUCAUUUAAGCUUAUUGUAUAAAUGACAAUCAUCACAAACGGCAAACUUACAGAUCUCACGUCAUUGUCUUCAUUCAGCAGUUUUCCUCCAUCUACAUCAACGACUGCACGUUGCUCAAGAAGGUACUUCUAAAAACUGAAAGUCAAACGAUAAAUUAUUAAGAAGCAUUGAAUAUAAGCAUGAAACGAAGAAAAUGUUAUGGAAUGGUGAUCCUCAUCCUCAAAGAUGAUUAAAAGCAAUUUGAUUCAAAAAUGACAUAUCAACUCUGGAGAAAUGGAAGACAAACCUGUGGUACCAUAUUCGCAACUGAGGUUAUGACAGCUGAAAUCGAUUGUUCCUGUGUGCAUUGAUAAGUGAGACUACCAUAGAGAUUCACAACUAAAUAAAGACAGGUAUUCCACAGAACAACCUUUACCUCUUUGGAAACACAGAUCUAACAAAAACUAUAACAUUUUGGAUUAAUAUUGACGAAUCAAGAAUAAUGCAAGGGAGCAAGAGAUACUCUUCCUUCUAAUAACAAGGAGGCGUGAAAAGUUUACAGAGUUCCAACAAUUAGAGAACUAAAAUCAAACUAAAAAAAUCACCAAAGUAGACAGAAUCCCACUUCGCCAAAAAUUUGAAAAUAUAUCCUUUUUAUCCAUUGAGAUUCAUGAACUACUACUACUACAUCAUGCCAAUAAGCAAUGCGUAAGAGGUGCUACAAUUUACCGAAUAUAUUUACCCUGAGAACAAGUUUUGAAAUCAUCUCUAGUGUUAACAGCACCUUGCGUCCUUGGGUAAGCUGAGUCCUAUUAUCAAGUAAAGAGACCAAUCAGUACAUAUCCAAAAGAUCUUAAAUGCUUGUAAUACCAAAUAAGAAAGAAACAUGAGUAUAUCUUGAAUUAACAAUGCAAAAAUGUAAUGUUAAAGCAUCUUGUCAUACAGACCUCUUCAAGGUACCAGAAAUUUUGGCACUAAAGAUGUCACAAGCAGCUGAUAUGAAGCUGCAUUUUCUGUGAGUUGAAAUUUUGUCAAUAUAAUCAAUCACCUGAAGAGAGAGAGAGAGAAAGACAGUGAUAUCCAGAGAUGUGAGCCUAAAUGCUGAGUGUGUAAAAAAAGAAGAUUAAAUGGAUAGCAAGAAUAUACAACUUUAAUGCUGAAAAGAACAUUGAAUAUGAUGCUCAUUCAUCAUUGCCAUUGAACGUGUACCUUCUUCUUUUCCUCUUUCUCAAAAGCAAGUAGAGCCUUGAAGACUCGCCUAUAUGAUCCAUCAUCACAACCAGGCAAAGUUGUUUUAAUCAUAGCAACAAUGGCUCUAACUACCUGCCAUAAGAAACAUGCUACAUCAACAAGAUCACAGAGUGUACCAGAAACCGUAAUGUAGCAAAAUCUUAGAUAAAAUAGCUGGCCAAAAGGGAAUGGAAAAGCAAGCACAAAAAACAAUGAAAAGGACCAGUGAUGCCAAAAUUCUGGUGGAAAAGGUGAAAAGCUUACGUCUAUUACAGUUCUUGUAUGCAUUCUUUAUAACUUAAGUUCUACGCAGCAAAAACCACCUUAUGCACAACAAUAUUGGAAAAAUUAGAUACAUACAACUGAGAAGAUAGGUUUUCAUAGCUGGACAAGUGCUAACUACCUUCUUCCUAUAAACUGCCACUCCAUGAACAUUAAAUGGUAUUUUCCUUUCACGCAAGGCUGUCUGGAAGACUUUUCCUGAUACCUGUAGUAUAAAAUACAAAAGAAAAUGUGAGCAAAAUGUCUUAUAUGAUUCACCUCAUUCACAUUAGCACUAAGGCAAGUACGCUUGACCUGCCUCCGGUAAAGGAUUGCUAUAUUUCCAUAGGAGCACCCUGCUUCUGACCGUUUAGAUGCAGUCUCCAGGAUCUUGUCGACAACAAAGGCGCAUUGUGCAUCCUCAUUGUGACUUUCCUUGAUAAUUACCUACAUUUUGCCAGUAAAACCGGUGUCACUAACUAAAAGGACUGAAAAAUGACAUCAAAUUGUACUUGUUGGAGCAAGGAAAGAUUAAGUACCUUAGACCCAGAAGAAUUGUCCGUGUCAACAUUCUUUAGUUGGCAUCGCUUCUUAUUGUUUUUUAUAACAGAAGAUGCAGCUUCCACAAUAUAGCGUGUGGACCGAAAGUUUUUAUUAAGCCUAAUCUGAACCAUAAAGUUAUGUCAAAUCCCACAGAACCCCAUAAAAUAAAACUUACUUUCCUGUAAUUGUACAAUAUAUUUGUUCUAUACUAUAUAUAAUGAAAAAAGACACUGUGAAUGACAUAAGAUAACAUAGCAGUCAAGUGCGAAGCGAACCUCUUUGUUAUUUGAAAAAUCUUUACGAAAAGAAUCAAAUCCAGAAAUGUCCGCCCCAUUGAAACUGAAAAUGGACUGCAGCAGGAUAUAUGUUAUUUGAUUUAGAAAAGAUAAGGGCUGGAUUAAAAUGAGCUGAGAGAGAGAGAGAGGGAGAGAGGGAGCAAUAACAUUGGAUUUCCAUAAUAAAUCAACAACAUGCCUGAUCAUCAUCACCAACAAUGGUUAUGUGGUUAUGAGAGGCGAGAAUCCGCAAAAGACUAUAUUGCAUAGCACUUGUGUCUUGAAACUCGUCUAUUACAAUAGCUUUCCAUGACUCCUGGCACUCCUUCAACACUAAUUAAAAGAACACCAUGUAUCAACAUUUAGCAUUACUUGUAAAACUAGAUAAAUCAAUGAAAUAUACUUAGAUGAUAGAGACCUUCAGGAAAAUCACUUAGCAGCUUCACAGAGCAGCUAAUUAAGUCGUGGUAGUCCAAAGCGUUGCACGAUUUCAAGAUAUCAUUGUAAUUCCUAAGAAUUUCACCCUGAUUCAGAUUGAGAGCUAAAACUCAUAAGCAAUAGUUUCAAAGAACUGAAAUCAUAUCUGAAAUUCUAGUUCUGAGCGUACUCCUGUCACAUCACCCAUUCUUCGGCAUUCAGCGGGAGUCUUUCCAGAAGCUUUUGCCUGAAACAUAAAUAAAUUUAUUGCCUAAUGCCACAUAUUGUAAGACACACCAUUGUAUUGGUCAUUCUAGCUUGAUUGUAGCUAAUAUUUUUUAAAUCGAAUGAUUAGAGUUCUUAAUCCACAAUAAUCUGAACAUUAAAUUUGGUAUUCAAGACUGACCUGUGUCACAAACUUCAGCCAUUUCUUUGAUGCAUCCUUAAAAUGAUGUGGAGAUGUUACGCCGUUAGACUCUUCCCCAUCUAUAGCAACAUUAAGAUUCGUUUUACUCUUUUCAUCUUCUGAUAAACGCACAGCUUCAAUGAUUGCUCUUCUCUGUUGCCCAUGUCCAUAUAUCAAAAAUUCUGGUCUGCGCUCGAGUCUAAAACACAAGGCAACAUAACAGACUCAGCUAUACCACCAUAUGUAUGGUGUUCAAAAUCAAGGGAGGUGAAUCAAUAGCUUACUUCUCAGCAUGUGAUCGGCAAAGUUGCAAUGAAAAUGAAUGAAAUGUACUGAUUGUUAGUAGUUUGCCGUUGCUUUCCCAGUCACAGAUCCAAUUCGAUCUCUCAUCUCGGAAGCUGCUGCUGUAGUGAAAGUCAUUGCUAGAACGUUCGACGUGCUAAUGCCCUAAGAACACCCAAAAAAAAAAAACGAAUAAGAUUUCGAUCAUAAACAAGAAAUGUAGAGAAACAGACAAUUAUGAAAGAAAAAGUUAAGAGGGAAAGUAGCAACACCUCAUUGAGCAGCAUUAGAACGCGCCCAACUAUCGUUGAAGUCUUUCCACUUCCAGGGCCGGCAACAAUCAUCAAAGGUACUGAACUAUCGCUGCAAGCUGCCUCGAGCUGCCUUUCGUUGAGAGAAAGCAAAUACUUCAAAUACUCAUCCGGCAUGUUAGGCAAUCCAUGGUUAACAGAAUCUGUUUGGUUUUCACUACUCAAAGGCGGCGCUGAUGCGGCACUAACGACACUACCACAACUCCCAAUAUCAUCACGCUGAAUGUCCACACUCGUUUUCUGCUCGAUUAAAGCGUCAAUUUCCUGCAAAAUACUCUCAUCGAAAUCAUCAUCGUUAAGAAUUCCAGAUGCAGAGAAAGAAUCAAAUGAAGUCAGAAACUGCGGUUGUCUGAUUGGAGUUGUGAAAGAAUCCGAUUUUGACACGCUUGAUUCGGUCCGGCUAACGCUUAAGCUCCCGGAACACGAAGCACUGCCAUAUUCACCACGCGCUGAAUUGUACCGGCUUGCGGAAAUCGGAGGCGGUGUUCUUUGAACUCUAUUGAGCUGAGUUGGCGUUUGGAUUCCAUUUCCGCCACAGAUUCUGGAAUUUGAAAAACACAAUUGAAUUGAUUUAAAUUGAAGCAAGAAAACGGCCGAGUAGCAAAAAAAUAGUAAGAAGAUGAAACCUUUGAUUCCUGAACGACUUACUUGGUAUGAGGGAGGUGAUGAUCAGGUGAAACGGCGUCGUUGCGGGGGCGUUUGCGAUCAAUGAGGGCCUUGGCGGCUCUGCAAUUCCGAGAGAUGCGGUUUCUUUGUUCCGCCGUGAGCCCUCCGCCGUACGCCUGAACGUUUUCCUUGGACAUUGCUUCGAAGAUUCCAACGGAGGAUUUGGCCUGACGGCCUGACCAGGCUGAUAACAGUGUAAAACCUUAGGAGCUAAGGAAAAACUAAGAGAGAGAUCGUAGAGAGGGGAAAGUUUUUUGUUUUUUGGAAACUUAGAGAGGGAAAGUUUGUUAAACCUGCAUAAUAUUCUUUUCGUUCAACUUGUCUACAAUAAUUACCACUCUUGGUAUUUAUACAUUUGUAACACACCUCACUAACUAACUAAGACCACUACCAAUCAUACAUAAACACUUGUCAUAAUCCUAUGCACUCAUAGUAUCAUCACUCUAACAUCCCCCUCAAGCUCGUGUGGCAGAUUGCCAAGUAUGAAAUUGGAACAAUUACGAGUGAACUGGGGUGAACACAAGCCUUUGGUGAACAUGUCGGCAUAUUGAUCUGCAGAGGUAACAAACUGCAAAAUAAUUGUCCUUCGAUGAACUCUUUCACGAACAAAGUGGCAAUCAAUCUCUAUAUGUUUGGCUUUAGAGUGCAAUACAGGAUUAGUCGCAAGAGCCAUUGCUGAAAUGUUAUCACAAUUCAAAACUGGAACAGAAGGAUAACCAACAUGCAAAUCUCGAAUAAGUUGUUGUAUCCAGAUAACCUUAGCAGUGGUUGUAGCCAUUGCUCUAUAUUCAGCUUCAGUGGAAGACCUACUCACUGUAUGCUGCUUUUUAGAACUCCAAGAGAUAGGAGUAUCUCCCAAAAAAAUGACAAAACCCGUGGUUGAACGACGAUCAUUGGGAUCCCCUGCCCAAUCAGCAUCUGUAUAAGCUUUCAACUAAGAUGAACCUAAUUUAAAACACAAUCCCAAAGACAUAGUGCCUCUGAGAUAUCGCAGAAUACGUUUCACAGCAGCAAAUAAGUGGCUAAGGGUGAAUGCAUAAACUGACAUACUUGAUUGACAUAAAAAGAAAUAUCUAGUCUUGUAAAUGUUACGUAUUGCAGUGCCCCAACAAUACUUUUAUAAGUGGUAGGAUCAGAAACAGGUUCACUACCAUGAUUCAGAAGCUUCUAAUUAGGAUGACAAGGUGUGGGAAAAGGUUUAUAGUCCAGCAUAUGCAUAUUUUGAAGGAGUUCUUUGACAUACUUGGUCUGAUGAACAAAGAGUCCCUGAUCCUGAUACUCAAUCUGUAAACCAAGAAAAUAAUGCAACACACCUAGAUCUUUCAUGUCAAACUCACUAGUUAACUGACUAAUAACAUUAUGAACCUUCACAUCAUCAUUACUAGUGAGAAUGAUAUCAUCAACAUAUAAUAAGAGAACAAUAAUUGAUGAACAAUCACACUUGACAAAUAAUGAAGGAUCUGCAUAUGAGAUUGAGAGUUACAAGGAAAAGAUAUACAAGACUUAUUAAGUGUUGCAAUGACAAUGGAAUGUGCAGGAUCGCCUAAUCAACAAUGCCACAAUGUAGAAGAAAUCUUUUGACCCACAAAUGCAACUGGAUUAAAAACAGGAGAAAUAGACCUCUGUGGUUUGAUAUGGGAAGUGGAUAGACAACAUUAUUACUCAGCCCUUGGAAUAGCACUCUCCCGAUGACCUUGUCCUAUAGACAGAGAGAAACAUCAUCAAUGAUACAACGACACUAAUUAUCUUUGCACAACUAAUUCAUAGAUAAUAAGUGUUGUGAUAGUUUUGGAACAUGUAACAAAGAGUUUAACUUGAAAUUAUGUGACUUAGUGAGAAGAGAAGAGGAACCAAUAUGUUUGAUAGCUAAACCUUCACCACUAGCAGUGGUCACAGUAUCAUUUGAUGGAUAAAUUUGUUGCCAUGUGCAAGUUUGACAAAUCUGAGGUCAUAUGGUUAGUUGCUCCCAAGUCAAGAAACCAGAAAUCUUGUUGAAGAGUUGAGGAUGAUGCACCAGCUCGUGCUUGCACAGCAAGAGGAGGAUUUUGUGAGGAUAUAAUUGAGAGAUACAUAUGUGGUAUGACAGGAUACUGAAACUCGAAGCUAUUAGACUGUGGAAUCAUGCCUUGUGAAAGACCACAUGGAUUCUAGCUAGGUGCUUCACCAUAUGACCCAGUAGGCAUUGGAGUUGGCAUAGACGAGGAUAAACCCUGAGAGAAAUGCUAUGAUGUGUCUGUGAAAUUCUUAUUCCGAUCAAAGCAAGUAGCAGCAACACGGCAGCCUCUGUGACAAAUUUGACAUCCAUGUUGAAAACAAUUCAAUGCAGAAUGACCUUUGCGAUCACAUAUUUGCAUAAUGGCCUCUGUGAUCACAUAUUUGCAGAAUGGCCUUUGCAACCCUAGAAAGAACAAGGCGCGAAGAAGACCAAAUGUGUACGUUUCUCUUUGUUUUUUUUUCCCUCCUAAUCGUGCUGUUCGAAAUCACGGACCUCGGGCUUGGGCCUAAUGGGCCCAAUUAUGAGGCCUAUUAUCUCCGGUCUUCUCGUUCUACUUCUAGUUACCCAAAUUAAGAACGUGCUGGUUCGCUUUUAGCGCGAGAGAGAAAUGGAGGCCCUGAUUGCCUCGUACGGAAACUCGUCGUCGGGCUCAGACUCCGAGACGCCGGCUCCACCUCCACCACCACCUCCGGAGCUCAACAACCCUCAAGAACCGACCCCUGCGCUGCCUCCACCUCCUCUGUCACUUCUCGACAGCCCCAAUUCCUUCGGUAACCUCUGAUUCCCAUCAAUUUUCAUCUUUUAGCUUUCUGUUGUGAUGGCUUUUUCCGAGUUGCCCACCAAGUGUUUGAUAUUUUGCCUCUGAAGGAUUUCUGGACUUCUCGGCAAGCGUCCAGCCGAGCAGAGUUCGGAACUUUCCUCACGUCGAAGGGAACUACGCAGUACAUGUAUACAUCCCAGGUUAUCAAAAUUCUCGAAAUUUUCAGCUCCAUUAGCAAAUGCGAUCGCUUUGCACUUAGUUUUUGCUUGUUUAAUUGUGUGGUUCCAGUUUAUAUACCACCAGCACCAAGGAAAGAGAUGGCCUUGUUUUUGAACAAGCUAGCUUCUCUGGUGCCUUGUCUCCAUGCGGUUGACGUUGACUUCCCGCUUGACAUUCUGCGUAAGGACGAGCACAAGCUUGAACAAGUUGCUUUAGGCAGAGAGUUCCAUAUAAGUCUCGGAAGAACUGUUCCGAUUCGGGUGCACCAGAUUGAUUCCUUGGUGACAAUGCUGCGGCAGAAGCUUCAGAUUCAGAGGCGGUAUGGUUACAUUUACAUUCUCUUGUCUGCAUUGCGUGAAUUUAGUUCUGUUAUUUAACAUAAUUCUGUAAGCCUGCAAUUUUUUCGUCCAUUUUCGGUUUAACACAUUUUGUUAUUGUGCAACAGGUAUUGGAUUGAUUUUAGCAAGUGGGAGGUUUUUGUUAAUGAUGAUCAGACCCGGACCUUUGUGUCUAUCGAAAUCAUUGCUGCUGGGUUAGCUGAGGUAUGAUUGCUAGCUUUCUCUCUUGGUGCAAUUCUAAAUGUUUUCAGUUGUUAUAUGGGCUUAAGAUUUAGUAAGGACUUGCCGAAAGUCAUGGGAUUUUGAAAUAUCGAUAUCUUGCUUGCUUAUUAGCUUAGAUUUGGUCUUCGAUGCACUUGUAACAUGAAAAACACAAACGAAAACUAAUGCAUGAUAUGCUCAUGGUUUUAACAUGUGUUGUCCUGGCGUAAAUCAUGUUCCUAAUCCUGUCAUGUGAGUAUAAGCCUAUGAAACUCAGGGCAUGUUUGGCGGGCCGGACAAGAUUGGAAUUGGUAUUUCAGACUAGUUAGGUUAGGAUUGAACUGGAUAGGAUAGGUUUUUUUGUCUAAAGAUUGGUGUAGACUGUCUUAACCAGACUAGGAACGAUGGGAUUUAAAACGUGAAACAGAUCCGCGACAUCCCAACGAUGACCCGCCCACCCAACAACUCUGCUCGUGACUUGCAACACCUCUCGUACCCUCCACGCCCCUUGAGGCCCGUCAGACCACUCUGAUAUCCUGGAGGGGUGAAACGUGGUUACUAGAAGCAUACCUGUUUUCGUAUUAAUGCACAGUUGAAGCAGCUUUCAUUGUCUACAAGUCUGAAAUAUUUCAACUUCCAUUGAUUUCAGAUAACAAAGCAGAUUCAAGCUGUGAAUGAGGUGUAUAAGCUUCACAAUCUUCCUGAAUUUUACAAGGUUAGCUUUUUCGUGCUUUUCAAACUCGAAAUUACUUACUGAAUAUAUGACAAUAUAUUGGAGCAAAUGAUUGUGCCUGAAUGCUACUCAUUGCUCAAAAAACUAAAUCACUUCAUGGGGUGUUGGUGAUCACAGGAUCCGCGCCCUCACAUCUCGGUAGCUUGGGCAUUGGGUGACAUCGGCAAUUCCCUGAAGAAAGUGGUUGAAGAAGAAAGACGAAGAUCUACCAUCGGAGGAUCGUUACAGAAAUGUAUUUUUACCAGUAAAUUCAAUGGUAUUGAAUGUAGGAUUGGUAAUAAAACACACAAAAUAUGUAAAUUUUCUGAACAAUAAUGUAGCCAUUUAACUAUAUUGUGAAAUUCCGAGAAUAUAUCGCUGAGCAUUGGAUGAGAAGACAUUUCUUCGUUGGUGUCGAACUUCAUGCCGAAGGUAUAGACACCGUGUAAACGCCAUCAUCCAUGCAGUCUCCUGUGCAUUAUUUAGUAUUGUCUCAGUUUCUCCAAACUUGAAUGCUCCUAUAAACCCACUCUUGACCUUUCCGUCAUCUGCGAUUACCGGAAAGCUGGCAAGGAUGUUGCCGUUAACCUACCUAACCGGCUAGGAUGUUGCCGUCAUCUCCAAACUUUAAAUACCGGAAAGCCGGCUCCAAACUUCAAUGUGCUACUAGUUUUUGUAUGCGAGAGCUCCACCUCCAUUGUUGUAACAGCAUCUGAUGCGGACUAGUCCUUCAUUCCCGUUACUCUUUGCUAUCUCCACUUCGAACUUGGCGUAAUGGCUCCCGGCCUCCUCUCCGGUGAAAUUGAGAAACCCCGGAGCUGGCGUUUUCAUUCUGUUGUCCGUAUAUCUUGUAUUACAAGUAUUUGUUGUGCAAAAUGCAAGCUAAGUUCAAUUUAUGUUUAUGUGUGUGUGUGUGUUGCCACUUUGUCACUUUUCCAACGUUUUCUCCAAAAUUGUGAUUUUGGUGAAUCCUAAUAACAAUUCCCUCGUUAAUCAUUGGGACGAGCACCAAGGCAGUUUUGAUUCCGUGCACAACGGCGAUACCUCGAAAGAAAUUGAUUCUAACCCAGAAAGAUGUUUUAAAUCAAAGUUGAACAAGGGAAGAAAACUUUUGAAUCGCAAUCACAUGUCUGGUCAAAUUCUUGAACAGUUGAUGUAUACAGACGUUCCUUGCUUAUGACACGACUUAUGAGAGGAUGUAUGUAUUGCAUUUGCAUCAAAAAAGAGAGAGAAGGUUGUAAGUGGUAAGGGAACGACUACCGAUGCCGCUCCACUUCUAAUCAAAGGGAUCGAUCCGAGGGUCGUGUUCACUUGCCAUCGCCAUUCCAGUGCAAAGGCAUGUCGGGCACAUUACCUGCCACAUUUACAGACGCAAUGUUAGAUAUAGCUGCCAUUUGGAAGUCACUUCUCAAAAUUUUGCUACUAAAUUAAUCUUAGACUUCAUUUCCAGUGCAAUUUUUUGCUACUAAAUUAAGCUUGUGAAUAUAGUACAUCUAAGCGGCAGGCACUAAAAGGAAUUUAGUAUGCAAUAAACAUUCAACGGACUAACCUUUCCCGCUCCUGAGCAAUUUGAACAUCGUUCAGUUUUUGGCAGAGAUAGGGGUUGGUUUCCGCCAUCAGCUGUCGAUACUGGUUCAGUAAGAACAAGGGUUCCAGUGCUGGAGCAACGAGCACAAGCAAGAUAUCCUGCGUAAGUAUCAAAUACACAGGUAAGUUGACAUAUGAAACCAAUCUGUGUAAACUACACUGUAAUAGCAGAAGAAUAUGCAGUACGAGAGAAAGAGAGAGAGAGAGAUUUAGAGAGAGAAGUUAAUACUUCAUAUGUAAUAUUUUCUAUAUCAUCAAUCUUACAAUAUUAAGACUAUAUACUAUAUGAAACUGCUAACUAACUCUAACAACCUCUCUAACAACCUUUCUAAUCUUUUGACAAGUGUCUUCAUAUUCUACCAUUGGAUUACUAUCCUUAACAUCCCCCCUCAAGCUCAGGAGAGGUAGAAUCCAAACUGAGAUUGCGACAAUGAAUCUGAAAGAGAGGAGCAGAUAAUCCCUUGGUCAGUAUGUCUGCAUAUUGCUCACUGGAAGACACAAACUGAACAAGCAACUGCUUCUUUGCAACUCGUUCGCGAACAAAAUGAAUAUCAACCUCAAUGUGCUUUGUGCGUUGAUGUAGAACUGGAUUGGAUUAAGCAAUUACUGACCUUUGUGCAUCUUACUAUUCCUACUUCACCAGUUUUGUAUUGUGAUAAUAUGUCAGCAAUCGCAUUAACAACCUCUCUAACAACCUUUCUAAUCUUUUGACAAGUGUCUUCAUAUUCUACCAUUGGAUUACUAUCCUUAACAAUCUGAACAUCUCCAUCGUAUAUAUUUAAAGCUACAGUACAUAAAACGAAAAGUCAGAAAUAGAGGACAUUAUCACACCAGUUCCAAGACAAUAUUUGCAUCGUUUAUGCUCCUGCUGUUUCACAUUGUUUAUUUCAACUACCAUCAAUGCUGAGAUCACUCCGACUGCUCCUCCAGAGAAUGACGCCACUAUGGGAUCAACUUGACUGCAGUUUGAAAGUAAAGGAGAUCAAUAAACAAAACUGUUAACAACAUAGUAUCAACAUUAUUUAGCUUCGUUUCAAGAAAUAUGACAUCCUAGGUUUUUCUAAUGUGUAAAAAUUGAGGAUCCUUGACUAUAUCGGUUCCCAAAGCAUUUGAUUCCUACGUUACAGACGGAAAACAGUAACAAUCGAAUUUAAAGAUUCAUAACACGAUAGAUGGUAGGUCUCGGGUUCGAGACUUGGGAGCAGCCUCUCCAUAAAUGGGGGUAAGGCUAGCCGACAUUCACCUCUCCCAGACCCUGCGUAAAGCGGGAGCCUUGUGCACUGGGUACGACCUUUUAUAACACGAUAGAUGGUACAAAUUUUCAAAACGAUAAUUACUAGAGAACAGGAGGGUUAAUAGCCUGAGAUAUGAGCAAUACCUCAACUGCAACGGCAGAUGCAUAUUUACUAUAAAGUCUUUAUAUGAUGUGCCUCCUAUUCCCAGCUUCAACUCCAACUGAAAGAUGUAAAGGUAAUUGUAGGCAAAGAGUUACAAACAUAACCGAAUCCAUGUUUUAUAAGCAACAACUACACUUAUUUUGUUAUGUUUCCUCAUUUUUUACUUGCAAAUUCCGAACCAUAUUGUCGGACCAGUAAAAAGAAAAUAAUGUUUAUGAUAACUGUUAAAACUAAUCACAACAAGUUAAUGCAUAAAGAACUUACGGAGGGUGCUAUGAGGCCACCGAAAAGGAUAAACCCCGCAAUAAUUGAAUAACAAACAGCAUAAUAUUGCUUAAGGUUGUCUGAACUCUGCAAGCAAUGAAUUCACCUUGUGAUUAAUACUUUGCACAAACACUAGUUUUCGCAAUUUUUUAUGAAUCGACAAAAGGCUACAACAAAAUAUGGCUAAAACAUGUGAAAAUACAUGUCUUCACAGGGGCACCAGCUUACCAGGGGAGGCAAAAAUGGAAUGAACGAUGGAAAACUAGGAAGUUCGUUUUCUUGAUCUUCAUUUACCGCUCCAAGCUCUGCACGUUUAAUCCGCUGUUGUAUCCUCAGCCCGCGAACCUACGCAUAUCGAAGCUCAUUCUUAAAGAACACAUUUCUAAUGGCAAUUGGAGAGUAAUUUAAAACAUGCUAAACUGAGAAAGUGGUAGCAACAAGCAAUUGCUCUCACUUCCUCCAUAUGCAAGAAAAUUUUGUUGCGACGACUCCGAAUAUUAUCUUGAAUUUCCUGCAGCUCCAUUGUCGCAAAGUCCUGCACUGUUUCAGGCCCCUCUAUGAUACAAAAUCUGCACAAUUAAGCAUGUAAAAACUAAAAAUUACAGGCUAUAAAACAAUUUCCGUAUCAUUUUUGGGAGCUCUCUCUCUCUCUCAAACCAGAAGGCAGAGCUUUCUGUUUCUCUUGAGGUUUCUUUCACUGGUAAAUUCCAGAGAAGCAGAGAAGAAGGCUCUCUGAGAAAUGGCGAUGGUGCAAGUGGAGACAAAACAAAUGUAUAUCUUGAAGCACCGAAAUUGUGCAGAACACUUGUCAACUACCGAACUCUAGGAUUAGGAGAGAGAGAGAGAGAGAGAGUGAGUGACCGGCAAAAAAAAAAAUGAGGGAAGAAUCACCCACAUUUAAAAAUGAUUUUUAGGGGACCUGGUGUCGUUGGAUUCGAGUAGUUGUUCGGUAUGUCACAUUUAAAAUUUUAUUAUCUGAUGAUAAACGUCGAAACAUAAAGAUAGGUCAUCUCUAACCGAAUGAGGACUAAAAAGUCAUGUUUAGUACUAUAAUCCUGCAAUGAAUUAUAUUUUAAUAAAUAAUAUCAGGUUAUAUUUUAUACCAUAUCUAACCGAGUGGGUCAAAUGAUCAUAUGCCAAACAUAGCCUUUUGACAAAAAACUCAUCUCCAACCGAGGGGGCUAAAUGGUCAUAGACCAAACAUAAUUGCUCAAUAAUUUAUUAUUCUAAUUGAAUUAAUAUGAUUAAUUAAAUUAAAUUACCAUAUUAAAAUAAGAUUUCAUGAUAUAUUUUGAGUGCCACUUGCCACAAUACCGAAGAAAGCAUGGUAUUAUUGCACCUGCCACAAAGUCAAGCUUGACAUUCUGCUGCUGGAGGGCUGGCUGGCUAGCUGAAAAUGGCCAGCCUGCUGGCCUGAUUUGGGAGGUUUUGGCCCAAUGGGGCCCCAAGCCCUUUGGCCUAGCCUUCGGUUGGAAACGGUUUUCGUGUUAUUCUGAGUUAUUUUUAACCCUAUGAUCCUUUGGCCGGAUCGAUUGGAGAUGACCUUAGGUGUGUUGAUUGUCUUUGAGACAUCGGAGGUUCUGUGUGAUUGAAUACUUCACCCUCCUCCAAAGGCGCCACUCUUGAGAAGGUUACUUGCCUCAUGCAAACAUUGUGAAUUGCAAGUGAUGAAUUGUUCUGAUGAUGAGGUUUAUUUUUUAACUCAUUAUGUUUCAAGUUUAAACAUUUUUCCCUCUCUUAGUGUAAAAUAUUGUUUGUGAUAAAAAAACUUAAAAUGAGACACUCUCCUUCAUAUAUAAGAUGAUCAAGUGUGAGAUUAAUACUUUUAAUGAGUGACUCAAUUAACCAUUUUCAUUUCUUACGCGUUCAAAAUUAGACAAAUUCUUUGCAUACAUUUAAAAAAAAAAGAUAUUAAGGAGAGUAUAAAAUUAUUACAUUACGAAGAGAGAGUUUCGAACUCGGGACGUAUGAGUAGAACCCUAACGCCUCUCCACUAGGAUAUUAGACCAAUACUGGUCUUGAAUUUUUUUGGUGCCCGGAGCGAAUGCUCAAAACGUGUCUUUUUCCAGUACAACAUAAAUUAAAAAGAAAUAUUUAUAGAGGGCUAGAACCCAAUCGAAGCUGGGGGACUAGGCCCUUACGCCUAUAUUAUAUUACUUACCUAAUACAAACAUUUCUGAUAGAUUUCAGAGGCUCUAAAUGGUCAAACACUUCGUCCUUCCCAAAACCGUUACUGUUGAGAGGGUUCCUUACCUAAUACAAACAUUUUACGUUUACUUAGAACUAGAAAAAUAAGAAUUGCAGGUGAUGAAUUGCUCUAAUGAUGAUGUUUAUUUUUUAACUUAUUGUGUUUUAAGUUUAAAUAAUUCUGUUUCUUUGAUAUAUAUAUUAGUGUAAAAUCAUUCGUAAUAAUAAAAAAAAAGAAUAAAAAUGAUACUCUCAUUUAUAUACAAGUUGAUCAAGUGUGAGAUUAAUAAUUUUAAUGAGUGAAUUAACUAUUUUCAUUUCUUACGAGUUCAAAAUUACACAAAUUCUUUGCAUACAUUUUUUUUUUAAAUAGAAAAUUUCUAUUAUUAAGGAGAGAGUCCUAAACUAUUAGGUUAUGGAAUGUGAGUAGAAACCUAACGCCUAUCCACUAGGAUAUUAGACCACCAGAGCUGAUCCUGAGAUUUUUGGUGCCUGCGUCAAAAUAUGUCCUUUUCCAGUACAACAAUAUAAAUUAAAAAGAAAUAUUUAAAGAGGGCUGGAACCCAGUCGAAGCUGGGAGGCUAGGCCCUCACGCCCAUAUUCUAUUACUUGAAGAAACAAUAUACAACGGGGGGAAUCAUAGUACCGAAACCCCAACAAUAAAAAACAAAGUCACAUGCAACCACUCCAAGCAGUCAACUUGGCCAUUACAUAUUGAAUCCAAAAGGUUGACGGCCUAUUCUCUGCAUACAAUGCACAGAAGAUAACAAGAUUACUAAUAUAAAAAGAACAUCUGAAAAGAUGAACAUAUGCAUCAACAAAUAAGCAGGGGCGGAUCCACAGUGGGGUCGUCGGGGUCAAACGACCCCUUGGAAACCAUGGAAACAACCUUGAAGCUCCCAUAUGCGACCUCUUGGAGCUGGGGUUGUCGGGGUUGUCAGGAAGAGGAAGAAGAAGACUCGGCAGGAAGAGGAAGAAGAAGCAGCUCGCGCGACGUGUAGGUUCUGUGUAGAGUUUCUGACCUUUAAUUCCCACUUCACAAAGACGAGAGAAAGAGAGAGAGGGAAGGAAAGUCCUCGGGGUGGUGGUGAUGUAGACCUUCGUCGGGGUAGUGGUGUGGGUGUGCGUGGGUGUGGAUUCGAUCGGAGAGAGUGAGAGGGUUAAAGAGUGAAAAAGAGAGAGAGAGAGAGAGAGAGAGAGAGAGAGAGAGAGAGAGAGAGAGAGAGAGAGAGAGAGAGAGAGAGAGAGAGAGGAGAGUUCGGGGAGAUGAGAAGGAGGACAAUGGGGACUUGCCCCGUGGCAAGUUGUGAUAGGUAGGAAAUCCCAAAAAGGGAUCCGGAUAGGGUAAGUAAGUGGGGACCAAAUUGUAAACUUCAUUUAACUGUAGGGAAAUUGUGAAAUUACAAGGAAAUCUUUGGGGAGGGGUUUUACAGAAACCCUUCUCAACACUUAAAAGCAAACUGCGUGCUUUUAAUCAGGUUUGGCUCUAUAAUUGAACUUGUAACCAUGCCUUUCCCUAUGACGGAAUUGUGAUAUGCUUUGCCAGAUAUUCACAAGGAAUUCAUUUUUCUUUUUCCAAUUGCAAAAUAUUAGUGAACAAGUUGUUUCUUCUAUGAGAGAUCCAAGCAUAAUGGUUGGGUAGAUGCAGAUGAGAAAAUCAGCAGUUGCUGUAUUUGGCACAGUAAGAUAUUAACUCUUACAUCUAAAUUGAAAAACAUGAAAAUUUCCUAGUUCUCAAGGUCUCACGUGCAUGCUCAGAUACAUUUGUGCUUCAUAUUUGUGUGUUUGAUUCCGAGAAGGCUGACAAGUUGAAGCAAUCUCUUCCUCCAUGUUUGAACAUUCAGGACCUUUGAACAAGGAUUUUGGAGUAGCUGGUUGCGCUAUCCUACCAAGACCCGAUGAAAUGACGAUAUGCAUGCCGUUUCUGUUAAAAAAAAAUAUCCUUAUUGACCCCCCAAACAUUAUUUCCUGGAUCCGCCACUGCAAAUAAGUAAACCAUUCUAAGUGCAAUUUUAGAAGUGAUACGCUCCAAGUGUGAUAUUGGACAGAAGAGCGGCAGCUUCAACCAGUUCUGCUAUAUCCGGCUGGAUGAGAGCUGCUAAAGACAUGAUUGUUCCCUAAUAACAUGAAUAAAUUGAGUAAACACCAAAAGUAGCGCAGCAAGGGAAGGAGAUUUGAAGUAGAUGAAGAGGUGUAAUACCCGUAUAUGCAGCGCAUCAUUUCUGAUAGAUCAAAUCGAGCCAAUUCCUGCCAACUCCAAUGCCGAUAAUCCUACAGUAAAGCAUAAAUCUUAUUCUCUUCUGAUAAAGAUGUGUGUCCCUGACUCCAACGUGUUUGACGCACAUUCCCUACCCAUACAUUGAAACCUUCAUCUGCAAGGACGAAUCCCAGUUAUUCUUCUGGAGAAUUUAAGAACCAUGAAUCACCUGGUCAAGAAAAGCCAGUAACCAAUUACAAUUGAGUUUGAAGCACAUAAGAGCCUAAUUUAAAAUGUAUCCCAUGGAUGUUCAUCAAUUUACACAAUAGUUAGUUUCAAGAAAGGAAAUUUCAACAGAACCUGAAAACUUCAGAUCAGGGGGCACCAAAUAGUGAGCUAUACAUUCAAAAUUUGAAAUAAUCAACUUAGUGGGACCAAUAUGUUGAAAAAAUUGGAAGGAGCUAUGAAAGUAAGGCUUUUCACUAAUCAGACGUCCAGAGAAUCAAUAUUUUACUCACGGAUCAGUUACGGGGAACACUCCCCACCAAAGCAAACUCUUUCGUCUGAAUCUGGAAAACAAGCAGCAGUGGAUUUUAACAGUCUGGGUAUCUCAAAGUUACUUUAAUCACAAAUUUAACAAUUAAACAUAUAAAUGGGCAUUAUUUAGUGAAAUAUUAGUAUAGUACUCACUGUGUGCUCGGAACAAGAGUACCCAGAAAGCUCAAUGAGCUGCGCACAGAGGACUACAGCGGUGAACGACAGCGACCGAUUCUGUAAAAUUCAGUCGAGUUUUGGGUGAUUUCGGAGGUCAAGAGGCUGAUAAGGAAAGCUGCGACCGAAGGGCACUGGUCUGGAAGAAAAGGCUCAGGUCACUGCUGUCCCAAUUCGCGAAGGAAGUGCCCCCAAAACAAUUUCGGCCCUGGACAGGUGCACUGUUUGCACUGGACCAGGGCCGGCCGGCCCAGGCGAUAACGUCCCCCAAACAGUACAUAUACAGAUGCUAGAAAUAUAUUAAUGUAACCUGAAACUACUAGAACCAUUCAAUUCUAGCGUCUACAGCUUUAGCAUUAGUUGGUACAUGGGACAUUCUUCCAAAGAGGGAGAUGAGCUCGUUGAGGCUCUUAUUUAUUCCCCCUCUUGAUGUGCCCUUCUAGGCUGCUAAUUCCAGACGAUCCAAUCUCAUACAUCUUCCCUGCAAAAGCAUGUGUGCCAGACUUCAAGAUCAAAUUUUUCCAACAAAAGAAACUUAAAGAUCAAACUCGCCAGCGGAAUAAAUGAUGCACAAGGGUGUUAAAAUCUUGACAUAUGUAUAUUUUUGGCAGAUUUUAUGUGAGCAUGCUACUAAAACUGGCAUCACUAAAGAUUGGUGGAAAACUUUAACAGUUUGAGUUGUAACUUCUCCAUUGUAUUUGUUAAGGCAAGAUGGAUGACAUCUAUGCAAUUUUCAGUAGAACUUAAAAGGCUGCAUAGCAGCUCUUGUUCGUUGUAUUGAAUACCGUGGUUUUACUGAUGAAUGCAGAGUUUGUUGAUGAUUCAUACGACAAGCAAUUGAAAAUCCCAUCAUUAUGCCCCACAUAUACCAAAAAAAAAAAGUCAUUUACACAAAUUCAGAGCGUUCAUCCACUGUAAUUUGCAGAUAUAGAAACGUUAAGAUAAAAGGAAAUGCAAAGUACCUUUCACCCAAAUUGGAGGAGCACCGGUGGCAUUAGCAAGUUAGCAACGGGAAUUGACAUACCAAUAUCUUCACAGUUUCUGCACAAGCACAAAUCAAAAGAACCCGGCGGUGGAGUUAUGUACCUCUCCUUGGAAAAUGCCACCUCUUGGGAUUUCAAAAUAUGCAGCCAUGGCUAGCCGUCUGACCACGCCAAUUCCACCAAAGCCACCGCAACGCGGCGUAGUGUCCGAUUGAUUGCUUCAAAACAGAGCUUCGUAUCCAUGUGUUUAUCAGCAGAGAGUACCCAAAACCACUGAAAAUUAUUUCUUUAUUCAGAUAAUAAAAUUUCCCAAAUUUGGAAAUUUAAUUCCGAAUCAAAAGUAGGGUUUGAAUUUUGAUUACCUAGAAAUUGGGGGGUUGGGGUGGAGAGGGACCCGUGCCACGACGGAUCUCUGUGUCUGUUUUAACUCAUGCCAAAUUAUAGAGAGUGUCAGGAAGACUUAAAUACUGAAGCCCCGUAAGCCGUUCAAUCCAGGGGGGAAGCUCUUUGAUAGAUGUUUUAUCCAAGAUAAGAUAUCUUAAUCCUUCCAUAUUUUCUUCAAUGCUUGGAAACACCUCAAAUUUUGUACAACCGGAAACAGAGAGACGGACAAGGGACUUGAGCUGACAAAUGCUGCUUGGAAGGCUCUUUAGUUCCUCGCAGUCGUUUAGCUUCAAAUAAGUCAAUCCCGUGAGAUUAUUAAUCGACCAUGGUAGUUCUUUAAUUUUUGAUCCGGAUAAAUUAAGAAAUUCUAACCCUUCAAUCACUUCUGUAAUCUCUGGAAACAUCUCAAGGCUCGAGCAACCAUAAAGAUCAAAGCUUUUGAGUGAUUUCAUACGAAUGCUGCUGGGAAGACUCUUAAGUUUCUUGCAGUAUAGUAGAUUCAAAUGACUCAACCCCGUAAGAUUAUUAAUUGAUGGGGGCAGUUCUUUAAUUUUUGAGCAGCGUAAAUCAAGCUUUUCUAACCCCUCAAUACCUUUUGACAUCGAUGGAAACAUCUCAAGACUGGAGCAGCCAUGAAGGUUCAAGGUUUUGAGACAUUUCAUACGAAUGCAGCCUGGAAGACUCUUAAGUUCCUUGCAAUCUUUUAGGUUGAAAUGACACAACCCCGUGAGAUUAUUAAUUGACAUGGGCAGUUCUUUAAUUUUUGACUCGGAUAAAUUAAGCUCUUCUAACUCCUCCAUACAUUUUGAAAUCUCUGGAAACAUCACAAGAUUGGAGCAGCCAUAAAGAUUAAAGGUUUUGAGAGAUCUCAUACGAAUUUUGCUGGGUAGACUCUCAAGUUCCUUGGAAAAUUCUAAGUUUAAAUGACUCAAUCCCGUGAGAUUAUUAAUUGACUCGGGCAGUACUUUAAUUUUUGACGCGGUUAAAUUAAGCUCUUCUAACUCCUCCAUACCUUCUGAAAUCUCUGGAAACAUCUCAAGAUUGGUGCAACCUCUUAGAUUAAAGGUUUUGAGAGAUUGCAUGCCAAUGUUGUUGGGUAGAAUCUUAAGUUCAUUGCACCAAUUCAGAUCUAAUAAAACAAGCUUUGUAAGAGUCAAAAUCGACCCGUGAACCUCAACUAAGCGUGUACAACUUUGAACAAUUAGCCUCUCAAGAUUUGGCACAUUUGUGAAGUCAGGGGUUAUCUCAAGGUUUUGACAAUGACUUAAAUUGAUGAAUUUCAACUUUUCCUGCGUCUGUUAAAACAUUCAGGAAAACAUGCAUUACUUAAUAAGACAUCUUACUCAAAGCCCAAACAUUUAAAAGAAACAAAUACAAGUAAAUGAUUGUACAUACCUGGGUUCCUUCCCAAAGUCGGUUAAUGAGACUACAUCGCAUGUCAAGUUCAACAAGAUUUUUGAAUUGAAAGUUGGAUGGCAAAGACUUGAGAGGGAAUUGAAACCAGGAGAGAUACCUCAAGUUAGGUAACUUAAAACGGAGCCCACUCAGGUGGUGUUUCCAGUAAUCACGUUUAAAAACGGAGCCCUCACUACUGAUCUUGAGAAGUCUUAGUUGAGUCAUACUAGCAAAAGCUUUAGCAUUUAAGCAUACCCGGUCUGAGUACGAGAAAUCCACGAUUAUGCUUUCAACUGUUUUCGUAGCCUGUGCAAAUCAAAGUAUUAGAAAAUACAAAGAACCUUAGUUUAGAUUAUGAAAUUAAUGCUUGUUUCUUAGGGAGCUGUUUGAUAAUCAUUUCGUUUUUAGUUUAAUUUUUUUUUCAAUUUUCAAUUAUUCAAACAAUGAAAACUAAAAAUUAAAAAUUGAAAACAAAAAUGGUUAUCAAAUGGCCUAAGAAAUUGAUUUUGGUCAAAAGUUGAAGCUUUCUACUAACAAUUGCAUAAGAAAAAGACUUCUCACCGUAUUUUGAGUUAGCAUUUGAUUAACAUCUUCAUAACUCCACAACCUACUUCGUUUCCCAGGCUCUUUGAUAGAUUCUUGACGGACGAUUUCCCGACCCAUUUCCUCUAAUGAAUCAUGCUUCUCCAGUUCCCCCUCCCCUGAGACAGUUAUGAGAGCAUGAUCGAUUAGAACUCUUAUUCCUAUAUGAGGAUGGAAACCACAAUCGUCCAUAAUUCGGGUUGCACAGUCUUUCUUCAUCCCUUUAAAGAAACAUGCAAUAUCUAGAAAGAUGUCUUUCACUGUGUCAUCUAGUCCAUCGAAGCUUGAUUUAAGCACAUCAUGAAUUCCCCUUUGCGGGAUUUUCCUUAUUUUUUCUAACUCAUCUUCCCACUCACGGAUAGUUUUUUUAAGAAGAAAAGCUCCCAAAACUUUGAGUGCUAAGGGCAGACCUUGAGCAUAUUUUACGACACGCUUAGAGAGAUCAUCAUAAUCUCUGGUGGGUUGGUUUUUUCGGAAGGCGUGCUGCCUAAAGAGUUUCAGAGCUCCAGAAUCACUCAAAGUCUUGGGAUUAUAUAUCACAUCAACUAUGCUUAGUAACUGUGAAUCUCUACUUGUUAUAAUAAUCCUACUUCCACCACCAAAGGAAUGUGGCUCUCCAAGUAAAGCAUCAAUUUGUUCUGAUUUGUCCACAUCAUCAACAACAAUAAGAACUUCUCUGACCAAGGCUUUUUAACAUCACCUGAAAACCUUUGUUCGAUAUGUCAGAGCUCCCCACCUUGUUGUCCGAGAUACUAGAUAGAAGUUGUGUCUGCAUAUGUAGUUCGCCGUGCUUCAUGAAACCCUCCUUGACAUUUUUAAGAAAGCAACAAGUUUCAAAUCGACUAGCGAUUUCAUCAUAAACAGCUCUAGCGAUGGUUGUUUUGCCUAAACCACCCAUACCCCAUAUUCCAACAACGCGAACAUUAUUCGUUUCAACUCCAGGAGGAUGUAAUAAUAAAUGCAUUUCAUGCAUAUGAGAAUCCAUGUCAACCAAGCCAUUCUCUUUCCUUGAUGAUGAUGAGAUGUCAAUCAAUUUCCGAUAAACAUAUUCUACAAUUUCCUCUACGAGCACCGCAUCACUCCUGUCAAAUUAAAAAAAAAAAAUAUAAUAACAACAAAAAAUAAUAAUUAAUAGGUCUUUUUCAUCUGUUAGUUUUAAAAAAACUAGAAAUUAAAACCAAAAUCUUGUUGUGGUCUAUUUUAUCUGACAGAGGGACUAGGGCCGGCGGCAGAGAGAGAGAGGAGAGAGAGGUGUGUUUGUAGAAUUGUAGGGGAAUGUGUGUGUUGUUAUCCCUCCUACAUUGUGCCUUUAUUUAUAGUAGUAAAGGGAGAGAAGAUAUUCCUUCUUCUCCAAGUAAUACAAGUUGUAAUAGGAAAGGAUAACUAGAAUCAAAUCUUAUCUAGGAUUUACACAAUCAUACUUAAACUAGGAAUGUUUACAACACUCCCCCUUGAGUGGGUAAAUACUCAAGGUAGAUUCAGCAUCAUGCAGAAGUUGAGGAAGUCGACUCGUCGGCAUUGAUUCCAAGGAACAACGCUUAUUCUCAAUAAGGUAGGAACUUGCAUAAGUAGUAAGUCUCACUAAAAAACCCUAAGGCUAUGGCAAAAACCCAAGUAGGGACAAAAUCCAUAGUCUAAGGAAAAAUGCGUGAGGAAUGCAAAGUCAAAAGAAACGUCUACAGGACAUCAUCAGGGAUAUGACCAGCCCAAGGUGGGUGCCUCGUUAAAACCUAGUUAGGUAGCAAAAACCCAGUGGGAAAAAUGCUCCUAAUCGUAGGGAAAAAGAGUACAUUAAGAUCAAGCAAGUAUCCAGAAGAAACUCCCCCUGAGUUUGACAUAAUUCCAAAGAGAAAUAGCAAAGUUACAACUCAGAAAGUUUUUACGCAUACCAAUUCCAUGAACAAGCUUCUAAAAACGUCGCCUUCGGUAGUGAUUUGGUGAAGAGGUCGGCCAGAUUGUCUUGUGAUCGGAUUUGCGUGACUUCAAUCUUCUGAUGCUCUUGUUGUUGAUGUGUAAAGAAGAACUUCGGCGCAAUAUGCUUGGUGUUGUCUCCUUUGAUGUAACCCUUCUUGAGCUGUUCGAUGCAAGCUGCGUUGUCUUCAAAAAUCGUCGUCGGGGCAUUAACGGCGGGAUGAAGAUCACAGGAGCUUCGAAUAUGGCCCACUACUGCUCUCAACCAAAAGCAUUCCCGAGUUGCUUCAUGUAAGGCGAGAAUUUCAGCAUGGUUAGACGAAGUGGCAACUAAGGUCUGUUUAGUUGACCUCCAAGAUAUUGCGGUGCCUCCAACGGUAAAGACAUAACCCGUUUGAAGAACGCGCCUUGUGCGGAUCAGAUAAGUAUCCAGUGUCGGCAUAACCAACAAGGCGAGAAUCAACCCGAUGAGCAUAGGGUGCGGCAUCACUCGAGGAUUCGUAGGGAUAAGAUAAAGCCCAAAUCCGUAGUACCCUUAAGGUAACGGAAGAUGUCUUUCACGCCAGUCCAAUGUCUGCGUGUUGGUGCAUUGCUGUAUCUUGCCAAAAGAUUAACAGCGAAGGAGAUGUCGGGUCUAGUGCAUUGAGCUAAGUACAAUAAAGCGCCUAUCGCACUUAGAUAAGGAACUUCAGGCUCCAAAAUCUCUUCAUCAUCCUCCUUCGGACGGAAGGGAUCUCGCUUUGCAUCUAGCGUACGAACGACCAUAGGAGUACUCGAAGGCUUCGCUUUAUCCUCAUUAAAACGGCGCAACACCUUCUGGGUGUAGUUCGAUUGAAGUACUAGGAUUCCAUCCGAACAAUGCUCUAUCUCGAGGCCGAGACAGUAUCGAGUCUUACCUAGAUCUUUCAUCUCAAAUUCCGACUUCAGGUGCGAAGCAGUUCUCGCGAGCUCUUCAGGAGUUCCGAUGAGAUUCAUGUCAUCGACAUAUACUGCAACAAUCGCAAAUCCGGAAUGUGACUUCUUAAUGAACACACAAGGGCAUAGUUCGUUAUUCACAUAUCCCUGACUAGUCAAAUACUCACUUAAACGGUUAUACCACAUUCUUCCGGAUUGUUUCAAACCGUAUAGUGAACGCCUCAGCCGAAUUGAGAGCGUGUUCCGAGGUUUGGAAAUAUUUGAACCAGUCAAUGUAAGUCCUUCGGGAACUUUCAUAUAAAUUUCCGUAUCAAGAUCCCCAUAGAGAUACGCGGUUACUACGUCCAUCAGCUGCAUAUCCAGUUUUUCGGAAACUACCAAACUGAUAAGGUAUCGAAAAGUAAUCACAUCCAUAACGGGUGAGUAAGUUUCGUCAUAGUCAAUCCCGGGGCGUUGUGAGAAACCUUGUGCUACAAGACGAGCUUUGUAACGCACAAUUUCGUUCUUCUCAUUACGCUUCCGAACGAAAACCCACUUGUAGCCAACGGGCUUCACAUGUGGAGGAGUAGGAACUACAGGUCCAAACACCUUACGUUUCGCAAGUGAAUCAAGUUCGACUUGGAUUGCUUGUUUCCAGUUUGACCAAUCAGCUCUACGUCGACAUUCAUCAACGGAACGCGGUUCAAUGUCAUCGCUCAACAUGAUCUCAGUAGCUACUGCAAAUGCUAAUGCAUCGUCGACAAUCAUCUCAUUUCUACGCCACACAUCAUCUAAGCUAGCAUAAUAGACCGAAAUCUCACGAUUCUCGGGAGGAGGAUUCGUCUCUUCAAGGACGCUUCCAUAAUCUAGAAUUUCCUCAUGAGUUGGGUAAAAUGAGUAAGCGAUAGUCGGAUUCACGGUAGGCUCUUCAGGACCUUGUGCCGUGGUUUUCCUCUUCCGGGGGUGUGAAUCCUUUGAACCAAGGGGUCUGCCACGCUUUUGUGUAGGGGCAGAUGAUUGGCUAGCCGCUAAUGUACGUGGAUCACCAGAAUUGGCGUCCCGGGCUUCCAGGAGGGUAGUCCGUCGUACAUUUGGUACAUCCAUCUUUGCAGGCGUUUUCGCAGCUGGAAUAUGUGAUCUUGUCACGCGCGCUAGAUCGGUGAAAGCAUCUGGCAUGCUCUGAGCUAUGCUCUGGAGAUCUAAUAUGCGCUGCACUUCAGCUUCAGACUGAGCGGUGCGGGGAUCUAAAUGAGACAAAGUGGGAGUCAUCCACGAUAAUUCGCGUCGUUCAUUAGGAACGUUGACGUUCUUAUCUCCCCCUAACGACGGGAAGACUGUCUCAUAGAAGUGACAAUCCGCGAAACGAGCGGUAAACAGAUCGCCUGUCAAAGGUUCUAAGUAACGAAUAAUCGAAGGAGAAUCAUAUCCGACAUAGAUUCCCAUCCUUCGCUGAGGCCCCAUUUUUGUACAUAAGGGCGGCGAGAUCGGCACAUAGACCGCACAACCAAAAACGCGCAGAUGAGAUAUGUCGGGUUCGCAUCCGGUGACCAACUGAAGGGCACUAAAUGGUUGUGUCGCAACAGGCCUCAGGCGGACCAACUUUGCUGCGUGCAAUAUUGCAUGGCCCCAAGCAGCGAUCGGGAGCUUGGUACGUAUGACCAACGAUCGAGCAAUCAUUUGUAAACGCUUAAUGAAAGCCUCUGCCAGGCCGUUCUGGGUGUGAACAUGGGGUACAGGAUGUUCAACUUCAACCCCAACCGACAUGCAAUAGUCAUCAAAAGUUUUAGAUGUGAAUUCUCCAGCAUUAUCCAAUCGAAUAGAUUUGAUCGGAUAAUCAGGGUGGUGAGCCCUGAGCUUGAUAACCUGAGCCAACAGUUUGGAGAAUGCAGCGUUCCUUGUGGACAACAAGCACACGUGUGACCAACGUGUAGAAGCGUCAACCAAAACCAUAAAAUAUCUAAAUGGUCCGCAGGGAGGUUGAAUCGGUCUACAAAUGUCCCCCUGAAUCCGUUGUAGAAAAAUGGGAGGAUUCGAACGAAUCUUGUCAUAAGAAGGCUUAGUAAUAAGCUUUCCCAUAGAACAUGUUUGACAUGCAAUUUCAUGGAUCGAACCUAAGCUUCGGGUUAGUGGAUGCCCGUGUGAAGUUUUGAGGAUACGGCGCAUCGCUAUUCGUCCAGGAUGUCCCAAACGAUCAUGCCAAAGUGUAAUUUCGUGCGCGGUCCCUGUGGUAGGGCCGGCCACAUAGUGGCAUUCUAUGGGGCGUAUGGUCGUAGUAUAUAGACCACUCGGGUUACGCGCCAUCUUCUCUAGAAUACGCUUCUGGCCAUAUUCGUAGGAAGUUACGCACAGAAAUUUAACUCCGUUUUCUACGUGGGUUUCAGCGUGGUAAUUGUUAUCUCUAAUGUCCUUGAAACUUAGUAACGUUCUUCCGGAACGUGGAGAAUAGAGUGCCUCAGCAAUGGUCAAGAUUGUACCAUUGGACAACAUUAUACGUGCCUUACCGUAUCCUUCGAUCAGGUUGGAUGGGCCUGAGGGGGUUGUCAGAGGUGCAUUCUUAGGUACGAAGUUAGUGAAAUAGAUGCGUUCACGCAAAACAGUAUGCGUGGUUGCACUAUCUGCCAGACAACUAACUUUCCCACUAUUCAUACCUAGAAUUAAUUUGAAUUGGUCACAUGCAUAAAAGUUUAUAAAACAAGUAUCAAUUCAAAAUAAUUUCAUUUAUUCAAGGAAAAAACUUAAUAUCCAAAAUAAAUCGCCAACUAAUAAUCCAAAACAUAAAGGAAAAUUGUUCAAAAUCAACCAAAAACAAGGUGGGGUUCGGCCACUAGGUGGAAUUCGGCCCCAAUUGUCUUAUUUUAACUGAAAAAUAAGUCUAUGUCUAAGAUUCUAAUCUUCCAUAGGAGUGGUAUCCUCCUGAAAAUCAGAAACCUCCAUCUUUGUAAUCUCCGGUUCGUCCACUUGCAGGAAGUUUGAUUCAAACUUCGUACAACGAGAAUGAUAUGCAUCCACAACCUUCUUGGGAGUACGGCAAAUACGGGACCAAUGGUCCUUGGAACCACAACGAUAGCACAUAUCGUCAUUCAUUGUGGCAGGUGCUUUGCCCUUAUUCUUGAAGUUCGGGGCCUUGGGAGUGAGGUUUGGGCGCUUCUGGGCUUUGUUUCCUCCCUUGGAUGGGCCUUGGCUCUGUUGACCUUGGUGGGAUGGCUUCUGGCCGCCCUUACCACGCCUCUUUUGGCGUUUUGGGUGCUGAUUAGUGCUAUAAUGUGCUUCAGGCACAGCAGUAGCCCCAGUAGGUCGAGCUUGAUGAUUUUUCAUCAACAGCUGGUUCUGCUUUUCAGCAAGAAGUAAAACAGAGAUCAAAUCAGAGAACUUAGUGAACUUCUGAGCUCUAUAUUGUUGCUGCAGGACAAUAUUAGAAGCAGAGAAGGUCGAGUAGGUCUUCUCCAGGAGAUCCUCUUCAGUCAAAGUUUCAUUGCAAAACUUGAGAAGUGAUCGGAUUCGACAAACUUCAGAAUUAUAUUCAUUCACAGACUUAAAGUCUUGGAAGCGCAAGUGCUGCCAGUCGUGUCUUGCUUCAGGCAAGAAUAUGUCCUUUUGGUGAUUGAAACGAUCAGCCAAAGCGACCCAUAAUGCACGUGGAUCCUCCUCAGCAAGGUACUCAGUUUGUAGAGCGUCAUGGAUAUGUCUUCGGAUGAAGAUCAUAGCAGUGGCUUUUUCAGCCUCGCCAACAGGUUUAUCUGUUACUUCUUCAAUAGCAGGACGCAAGUUCUUUGCAGUGAGGUGGAGCUUCACAUCUUGAACCCACUUGAGGUAGUUCCUUCCAGAAACCUCCAAAGCGGUGAAGUCGAGUUUGUUCAAAUUCGACAUGUUCCUAUCACAAAAUGGAUGAACAAGAUGUGGUUAGUGUAAUGGAGAAAAAUCAAUCCAUUCACAUAGGAGUAGAACAUACAGGUUCUAAUAGACAUGUAUUGGUUUAAUUUUGCAUGAAAAACUUCGGGUUUUCAUGGGUGAUAUAUUUAAGUGAAAACUUCGGGUUUUCAAACAAGGCAUGUGUAUAAGAAACUUUGGGUUUCAAAGUAAUUAUGAACUUCAGGUUCAUAUAUUCCUGCAGGCAAACACAAAUAUAUAUGCAAACAAAUAUGCAAAGAAUAUAUGUAGAAAUAUUGUAUAAUGAUAAGUGAAUUAAUUUAUUUUUGGUCUUCGGGGCCAAAUUAAAGUGUGGGUGAAAAUAUAAAAACCCAUAUUAUUUAAAAAAAAUUAAAUAAUAAAAUCUCGGGGCCUAAAAAUAUAGGCCAAGAACCCUCGGGUGGGAUUACAGGCCCACGGGGUGAGAAAAGGGGAAUGGGCUGCUGUGUGCAGCCCUAAAAUUUUUUUUUUCUCGGGCCGUUCCAGGCGAGCCCAUAAUUUUUUUUUUCUUUUCGGGCCGUUCCAGGCGAGCCCAGAAACUUUUUUUUUUUUUUUUUAAUUUAGAUGCAUAUAUAAUUCAAUGAAUCACAUAUUUACUUUGAUGCAUAUGCAAAUAAUAGUUUCAAUGCAUGUACAUAUGUAAGAUUCAAUUCAUGGCAAAUAUCAAAUUCACAUAAUUGUAGCAAUUUUGAUUAUGAAGCAUACACAAUUUAUGUAGAAUCUAAAAUACGUAAAACGUAAAGUUGGGUCAUGCAUCAUGGUGAAUGUUCAUGCUAUCAGGGCUUGCAAAAUAUCGAGUUAAAAGCCGUUGUUUGGAAAGAACCUGAUUGCGUGAUGAUAUGGAUGAACUGGUUUGAUGCAGAAAAAAUCUCCAACGUCAGAUUCCUAAGCGCAACGGUAGGAGCGUGCUGAUAACGUGUUGUGGUCUAUUUUAUCUGACAGAGGGACUAGGGCCGGCGGCAGAGAGAGAGAGGAGAGAGAGGUGUGUUUGUAGAAUUGUAGGGGAAUGUGUGUGUUGUUAUCCCUCCUACAUUGUGCCUUUAUUUAUAGUAGUAAAGGGAGAGAAGAUAUUCCUUCUUCUCCAAGUAAUACAAGUUGUAAUAGGAAAGGAUAACUAGAAUCAAAUCUUAUCUAGGAUUUACACAAUCAUACUUAAACUAGGAAUGUUUACAACAAAUCUAAAUAUUUGUCAAAUUAUCUAAAUAUAUAAAGAGAGAGCCCCAGUUUGGUGAAGCAUUCCAAAAUGCCAAGAAUAUCCCUAUGUUUCCUUCACAAUCAAAAUCCAAAAAAUCCAAAAAAAAGGAGGACAAACUGGUAAAAAACUUAUAACCGAACAUAAAAUUGUAUUGAAAGAAAAAACUAAAUUUUUACUAAAAAUUGAGAGCAAGAAAUACAAAAAAAAAAAACAAAAAAAAGGGAAAUUAAACCGAAUACUGGUAGAACAAGUCCACGUAAUUGAUAAUUGACGAAUGCAAUGUUGGUAACUGGUCUUGAUUUAAAAUAAAAAGUUGAAAACACAAAGAGACAGAUGCAGUAAAAAACACCAAUAAAAAACAAAAUAAAAAAAAAAAUAUUGGAAACUGAGGAAAGAAACGUGGGAGAGAGACUGCUGUUUUCAAACUGCAUUAAGUUUAAAGGCUCUCAUGUUAUUGCUAAUGGAAUAAAACAAAAAAGAAAAUAAAAAGAGACCUAAUACGUUUAGAAUAGAACUGCUAUUCGACAGUUGCAGGCUUGAAGUGUGUGAAGGAAACAGUUUUGAAGAACGAUAAACUCGAACGUUCAUGAAAAUAAAAGCGAACGUGGGAGAGGAACCAGUUUUGCGGGACAUGUAAAUAAAACACAAAAUAAAAUAACCUCAAGAGAAUAAAUUGAAAUUGUUGUGCCAGAGCCUGAAGGAGAAGAUCAAAUUGGCGAAAACCAACAAGAACUGGUAGUUCUGUAGUUCUCAAUUAUUAAAUUUGUGUGUUUUGUUCUCUAUCAAAAUGCUUCUUAUUCCUUAAUCUUCUCAUGCAUUUUCACAUGAUUAUUGAAAAUUCUGCACGUUAAUUGUAAUGGUUUGAUUGUGGUUUUUGUUCUCUGCAGGUUUUUCUUCCCUUAUCUUAUCAAAUAAAUCAAUUGAUAGGUUAGGCUUUCAUUUUUUUUUCUUCACAGGACUUUUAAGGACAUCCUCAAGUCAAAGUGAUGGAAUCAAAGUCUUCAGGUUUGGAUGCUUUUUUCCUUCUCUUUUUAGAGUAAUUUUCGAGUUUCUUCUCGCAUUUUUCGGGUUCCUUUCCCCAGUCCCCCAAAAUAACAAUAACAAAUUAGGCUUCUUCAUUUUUAGACUCUCUUGGGGUUGGCAGAUAAGGGGUUGCUUGCAUUUAAACCUCACCGUCCGGCUUCUUCUUUCUUAUGAAUUUUUAUCCCUUUCCUACGGCCAGUUCGUGAAGGCCGUUUUCAAAUUGAGGUUUUGUAUAUUCUGUCUCUUAAGAUUUGAUUCUUUCUAUUUUGGAUUAUUUUUUGUCUGAUUUCUCAAACAAUUUGGCUAAUGAAGAGUUUAUGGAUAUACAAUGGGACAAUAUUAUUUUCUCUCUGUUUUAUGUGUUUAUUUAGUUUUACUGUAGUUUUCAUCUAUGCCUUGAGUUUUGGCUUCUCUAUCUUUUUAUCUUUUGUAGCGUUCCAGGUAAAUGGUGAGAAUUAUUCAAGUAUGCGACAUCAUUUUAGUUUCAUGUGAAAAAUCUUCUCUUAUAAUUUUGUUUGAGUGAUUGAAUGUGCAUAUGUGAGCUCUAAGGUUUGGUUCCAUAUUUAUUGUUGAAGAAAAACAGGAAGUGAGGAACACAAUAACCCUACCACGAUUAUGUAUGAAAUAAAUUGGAUCUAUUAAAAACUCAUAUUUUGGGUGUGUUGUUAGGAAGAAAUGCCUAAACUCCGAAUUUGUAUGGAACAUACUCAUUAUAGAAUAGAUUAAUUGUAUGUGUUAUUGCUUUUAGUACUAAAAUUGACUUAUUUGCCCUCCUACAAGUCAUAGCUUUGCUAAUAAAUUGAGAACAAUGUCUGAUUUAGUUUUUUUUUUUUGUCGAAAUGUCUUAUUAGUUUAACUCUUUUCAUUUGAUAAUUCUCUUGCCCUUGGUUUGAGAUAUAAAGUAUUUCAUUUCAGUCAUCAAGUGUCACAGCCUGUCCCGAAAUAUUUUAUUGAUGUUGUGAAAUGACGAAACUGCCUUUGAGCGUUUUUUGACAUUUAAACUUUAGGGUUUGUUUUGGUAACCAUGGUUGUGUUUAGGGUUAGGUGGAAGUGUGAGGACACACACAUCACCCUUUCCCUUUCUUUCUCUUCUCUCCCGUGCACUCUCUCUCUCUCGGAAACACUCUCCCUCUCGGAAACACUCUCCCUCUCUUCCUUCUUUGUACGGACAACAUCAAAACCCUCUCAAACCUUGUAGAUCGAGGGUGUAAAGAACACCAUUGGGUUCGUGAGGAUCAUACAAGUCAAAAGGUACCAGUUUCAGGUAAGGAAACCUUCGAUUUCCCGUGAAAACCCUAACCCUCCGAUUUUGUCACUGUUUAUGCUCAUGUAAAACCUUGUGUUUUAGGGGAUUUUAAGCUCAUAGGGAGCUUUAGGAGGUCCUAAGGAAGAUCAGAGUGGUUUGUUGGAAGAAUUUGGACGUCGAAAUAGUGAGAUCGACGAGUUGCAGGGUUUGGCCUGAUUAUCGAGGUUUUUUUCCAGCGAGUUGGAGGUCGAGGCAUGUAUGGUUUUGUUCGUCUUUGUGAGAUCUUCAAAUUGGUUCAAAUUUCAUUGAAAAUGGUGCAAAAAUGAAGAAGUUAUAGGCAUUAGAAAUUUUUCCAUAAACCGGUGACUCACCGGAGAAGAAAGGAGUUGACGGAAUAUACUAACGGCGUCAUGUAUCUUUAACAGAUUCAGUUAGUUUUAACGGAAUAUUCCUGACGGCGUUAACUGACGCCGUCAGUGUGCCAAGCACAUGGGCGCACGUGGGGGCGCAUCUGGCCGUGCCUUGGCCACGUGGGUGAUCAGAAAAUUAUUCUAAAAAUAUGGGGAUGUUUCUGAGGUUGUGUAGAUCAUUUUGGUAUAUUCAAACACCCCGAUUGAGCAUUGUAUGAGAAGUUGUUACCAAGUUUUGUGUUUGUGCUUUAAAAGUAACGUUUAUAUAGUUGUUUCGCAUAUAGGUGAGACCUAUCCCGAGGACGAGCGAAGUCAGGGGCAACUCGGGGGUUACGACCCUUCCACAUACCAGUGAGUAUAUAUAUAUAUUGAAUAUUUUCCUAGAAAAGCGAUUUAAAUGUGUGAAAUCCCGUUUCUGGAUUUCAUUGUUAUCACCUACAUAUUUGUAUUAUUGAGAUUUUAUAUUAUUUCUCGAGAAUUUAUUUUAAUUUGUUUGAAUUUAAAUUUAAAUUAAAUUAGUUAUUAACGUUUGAAGUUUGAGGCAUUUUAGAAAUAAAUAGAAAAAUCUGAAAUUUUCUUAUGAAAUCUGGUGUGCCACAUGGGUGGCCCAGAUUCAAUGGAAAGGAAAAUGGAUGGUGGAGAUGCAAAGGAAAGGAUUUAAAAGAGAGUGGGCGCUGCCCAGUUAGGAGGGGGGAGAGAAAGAGGUGACCAAUUGGGCGAAGAGGAAAGGAGAGUAAGGAGAGAAGAAGAGGAAGAGGGAACCGGCCGGGGUUUACUAUGGCCCAUGACCCGACCCGGUUAUAUCUCCCAACUCCGGCCACCAUGGACGGCUAGGAUGGUGUCAAAAUGAUCCUUAGCUCGAGGCCAAUCGAUCUCUCUUCCAUUUCUACACUUAAAACGACGAGGGGGAGUCCAAUUUUGAGGAAAUACCACGGUGGGUGCGUCGGGCUUAUGUGGAAAUCCAUUAAAUCUUGAAACGUUUUCUUCCAAUUACAACCACCCAUAGCAUCCUCAUGAGGCCUAGAACAAAGCCCAGACAAGUUUGGGGGCGGCAGAGUUGUUUUCGAGUCGGAUCGAACACACCUAAAAACAAGGGUUCCGUACGGUUCGAGUGAAAUUGGGGAUUUUCCCGGCCAAAUUGGACUUGGCCACAGGUAUAAAAAUUGCUAUACUCAUUGAAAUCUUCAUUUCUGUAAAUUUUGAUAAUUUUUAAAAAUAGUUGAAUUUUUCCGGCAAGUCGGGGCGGCCGACGGCCACCCGUGGCGGCGAGUGCGGCGGUUUCCUGGCCAGUGGGCCGAAAAUAUCAUUUUAAGUUCAAUUAGAUGUCUUGAUUUCAUAAUUGAUAUCCUUAUGAUAUGGUUUGAUUGUUUGAACCUAAUUUCAUUACGAUACGUGGUUAGGUCAAAAUAUGAUUCGACGAUCCUACCGUUGGAUCGUCACCAAACCUUAAUGCGUGAUAGAACAUAAUAUUUUUGGAUCAUAGAAACUUACGGAUCGAGAAUCUGACGUACGGAUCUUCCCUAAUUGGAUUUCUAAGUUUGUAAAAUUAAAUGUCGACCGCCACUUGAAUUUUGAAAUUGGCGGAGAUCCAACUGUCGGAUCAUGUUGAGAUUUCAGUAUGUUGUUAUUUGAGCAUAAUGUGGACUUUGGAAAGUUUCGGAUCGGAAAUCCGAGGUGCGGAUCUUCCGAAUCAAAUUACAUAAGUUUGUGGACCCUACUGUUGAUCGAGAGUUGACUUUUGCUCAACAUGUCAUGAAACGUCCUAAUUACUAAAAUUAGUACUACAGGGGAACUAGGUGAAGUCUAGUGGGCAUGCAUUGAUUAGAGAGUGACUUGAAUAUAUGUGAUAUGAUUAUUACCUUAAUUUCCUAUUAGUAUCCUUUGUGAAGAUGAAUUGGUUUUAUAAAUGUGAUUUCUAUUGAAAUGUGAUUUUUAUAUAUUUAGCCAUAGGCCUAUGAUUAUUAAACAUGAUUUGGCUUGGUACUGAUGAUGGUUGUGACAUAUGUGAGUUAAAUUAUCUUUUUAGUAAUGUGAAUGAUGUGUAUGAUUAUUUUCAUGACAAUGUGAUCCUAGAAUCCUAUUAAAAGUAUGUUGUAGCACUUAUAUGCUUGGGUGCCAUAUUAGUGGUGACCUUGAGAAGUUGAUGGUGUAGGUGACUACGUUGUAACUCAUAGGGUUGAGAUGUGAUGUGGAUAAGUUGAGGUGUUGAAAUUACUACACCAUGUAGUAGUUGUACAUUGAUGGUCCUGCUUGGUAUAUCCGCAUUGGGGGACCAUACGCAUUCUAGGAGUGAUCAUGCUUGGUAUAUCUGCAUUGGGUGAUCACUACCUACCUGAUUAUCUUGACCCUGCUUGGUUAAUCCGCAUUGGGGGGUCACAAGUGGUCCUGCUUGGUUAACCCGCAUUGGGGGACCAUACUUUAUAUGGAUCGCGCUUGGUUAAACCGCGUUGGGCGAUCCUUAUGGCCAUGUAUGCUUAGGAGUGAUCAUGCUUGGUAUAUCCGUAUUGGGUGAUCACUGCCUAGGAUAUUAAACUAUGCAUACGGUUUUGCUUGGUAUAUCCGCGUUGGGGGACCAUAUGCAUUCUAAAAGUAAGGAGGAUUAGUUGUGUUGAUGCACAAAAUCAGCGAAGACUUUGGUACAACAGAAAGUGUCAGGUUUUGUGACCUUCGCUUGGUUGCUUCGGUCACUAGUGAGGAUAAAUACGUAAAUAAAUAGAGACAGAGAAGCAAACACAGGAUGUACGUGGUUCACCCAGAUUGGCUACGUCCACGGAGUAGAGGAGUUCUUAUUAGUAGUGAAGGGCUUACACAAGUACAAAGGAUCAAGCUCUCAAUUUAGUGAGUUCUUGUGAAUGAUUUACACAAAAUGGCAUUAGGCAAUAUUGUGGGGGAAUGACCCCUAUUUAUAGAAAAACUUGUAGCUUUGUCACAUUGACAUGUGUCAUGUUAUGAUUGGUUCUUGAUGUUGACACGUGCUGCGCUCUGAUUGGCUUCUAAUCCUGACACGUGUCGAGUAGUGAUUGGCCUCCUGGUCGGAGGGGAACUCUUCUGGGUCCUUGACAGUAUAGCGUUGGCUGGUACUCGGUAGUUUCGGGAUUGGUCAAGUAUGGUACAAACAGUGCUCCCCUAAGUUCCCGAGUGAGGGAAACUCCUCGGUUGGGGACUUGCAAGAUCCAAUCCCUUGAGUAAUCACGAAACUUCUAAGUACCGAAGUGUGGUCUGAUCUUCAUCUGCCCUUCUCUGGAAGUACCUUUCCUCCAUCCGGGAAUGGUGUAUUUAGCUGAUGUUGACGCACAAGCUAAUGUAUCAAUUUCACUUGAAGCUUAGUUGUAGUUUCGGGCUUAGUCAAGUGUGAUACAAACCCUAUAGUAGGAGUCCCCCAAGUCGCCGAGCUAGGAGAUCUGCCGAAAGAGGUGACAGACAAGGUAAGCAGUCAAACUUCCAAGUAAGCAACCCAGGAUCAGAGGUUUGACUUCGGCUUCCGGUUGAUUGUUCUCAUUCUCCUUGUCUCUCAUUCAACUGCCAGGAUAAGGAGAAGCAAAUGGAUAAGAGAUGAUAUGAGAUACUUUUGCUUUUGAAGAAGUAACUUUCCACAGGCUUAUUCUUGAACUGUGCUGGAGGGUUUUCUGGUGCCCUUCAGAGUAUAAGGCCAACUCAAAAAUUUGAGGGUCAAAACAAGUCCAUCAAAUCUAGAGUACGUUCGACCUUGAUGAUAUGGGAUACUUUUGCUGUUGACGGAAUAAUGAAUGUGGUAUGGAAAGGUGUCGUGCUGUAGUGAUCUGUUUCAGCUCACCGUUUGAACCUUCUGCUUCAAUCUUUUGCAUGGCAGAAGUGGUGUGCAACCUUUGCAUUUAAAUGGUCCUUCAGAACAUUCCUUCAUAGUGACUCAUCCACGCUUGGCAGCUUCAGUGUAAAGAGCCAAUAUCUGAUCAACUGUCAUGAGGUAUUUGCCGGUGGAAUUCGUGACCUUGACAGCAGUUGAGGAUGAGUACUCGAGAGCAAUGCUAAGUAAGCAACCAGGCAAAGGCUCCAGGCAGUCAGUUCCAAAUUGGAGGUUUGAUUUCAGGUUCCGACUGACUGCUCUCUUUCUCCUUGUCCUGCAGGUGUGGACAAGGACAAAGACAAAGACAGGGAGAAAGCAUGAUAUGGGAUACUCUUGCUUUCGAUCCUGAUGAUAUGAGAUACUCUUGUUCUUGGUGUGGCUUAUUUGCUGAGGUAUUAUCGGGGGGAAAUAAAGCUGAGUAUUUCGAGAGGUUAUGUUGAGGGUGCCUUUUCGAAUGCGAGAAAGGGUUGAGCAUUUUUGCAGGUUUGCCUGUCCGUUGAGGAGGGAGGUCAAUGUAUAUAGGGAUUUCCCAAUAACAAGUAGUAAUGCUAUUCCUUUACCCUUCUUGGUCACAGCAAUGUAGUGGGAGCUGCCAGCUUCACGUGUUUUAAUUUUGUCAGAGCACUUUGAAAAAAGUGGUAUGUGGUAUCUGGAAAGCUGAUGUUACGUGUGAAGAUUACAGACAAGCUUUAUCUAAGGAAAUCUGGCUCUCGAAGUUCUGAGAGUUGUGCCUCUUCGGUUUUCGAACAAGCAAUCCCGUCGAGGAUCUGACUCUCGAGAUUCGGAAAGCGGUGCUACUCCGGUUUUUUAGAAAGUAAUUAUGUUGGGAGUCUUUUCUUGAAUGUGAGUAAAGGUUGGACGUUCUUGCCAACCUGUCUUGCCGCAAAACACGGAGGUCGACACACAUAGGGACUUUCCAGUUGUCAAGCAGUGGUGCUGUUCCUUUACCCUUAUGGGUAAUAGUAGGGUAGCUGGAACUUCGAAAUUCUCGUGCCUAAACUUUGUCAGAGAUCUUUGACAAAGUUAUAUGUGGUACCCGAUGAGUUGAUGGUGCAUAUGGAGAGCGGUGAUUGAACAGUAAGAUUCACGUGCUUUCUACUUCACCAGAAAUCUUCGACAGAUUGCCCGUAAUUUCUGCAAAGCUGAGUGUGCAUGUGACAGGUGCUGACGAGGCUGAAAAAGCAGGUGCUUCUUUGAUUUCUGAGAUCGGCCCUCGUGGUCUCUGAGCAGCCCAGCUUUUGAGAAAGCAAACGCCUCUUCGAUUUCUGAAGCUCCGUCGAGUGCAGAUUUUUAUAGAGGCUGGCAUUAAGUUCCACAGCACACUUGAAUCUCUACCAGUAGAAGCUCAUUUCUUGCACUUCUAAGAUCUUGAUUUGUCUGACCUCUUCCCUCUUCAACACAUUUGAAAAUGUCUGGACCCUCCGACCGUCGUUUUGACUUGAACCUUGGAGAAGAGACAGCCACGCCUUCUCCAGACAACAUAUGGCGCCCAUCAUUCAUAUCCCCUACCGGUCCUCUUACCGUUGGGGAUUCUGUGAUGAAGAAUGAUAUGACCGCUGCAGUGGUGGCCAGGAACCUUCUCACUCCCAAAGAUAACAUACUACUUUCCAAACGGUCUGAUGAGUUGGCUGUUAAGGACUCUUUGGCCCUUAGUGUUCAGUGUGCAGGUUCUGUGUCUAAUAUGGCCCAACGCCUAUUUGCUAGAACCCGCCAAGUUGAAUCAUAUUGGCUGCUGAAGUGAUGAGUCUCAAACAGGAGAUUAGAGGGCUCAAGCAUGAGAAUAAGCAGUUGCACCGGCUCGCCCAUGACUAUGCUACAAACAUGAAGAGGAAGCUUGACCAGAUGAAGGAAUCUGAUGGUAAGGUUUUACUUGAUCAUCAGCGGUUUGUGGGUUUGUUCCAAAGGCAUUUAUUGCCUUCGUUCCUCUGGGGCUGUACCUGGUAAUGAAGCUUCAAAUGAUGAACCUCCAAUGCCUCCUCCUUCUGGGGUUUUGUCAAGUACUGAGGCUCCGGAUAACCACCCUCCGGUGCUUUCUCUUUCUGGGGCUCUACCGACUGCUGAGACUUCCCCUAAGCAACCUUUGUGAAGGCUCCCUUUUGUUUGUUUAUUUUGACUCAUGUAUAUGUACAUAUUUGUGGCUUAUCGAAAAUAUUAAUAAAAUAAGCUUUGCUUCAUUUCAACAUAUUGUGUUAAAUACACCAAAGCCUUCUUCAUAAAGUUCUUUGAAUUUUUGCUUUUGUUGAAACCUGUAUUGUUGAAGCUUUGUGAGUGAAGCAUGUAGUUUGAGGUAGUGUUCCCUUAAUUUCUCGAGUGAGGAAAACUUCUCGGUUGGAGACUUGAAAAAUCCAAGUCACUGAGUGGUUGUGAGACUGCCGAGUAUCAAGGUGCAGUAGCAUAUGGUGGGAGUCCCCCAAGUCUUCAGGCGAAGAGAGUUGCCGAAUGAGGUGUCUCGCGUGUUACUAAUUUGUCAAAGUAACGAAUUCUUGUUUCGAUGUCACACAUUCGUAUAUGCUUUAUCUAAAAAAUAUUUCCAACUUUUGUGUGUGUUUGAUGCUGCAUGCUAUUGACUAGACAAGAUCAAGUGCAAUUAGUAGCUUUCUCUCUUUUUCAUCUUUUCUUUGGUGGAAUUGCUUUUCGUUUCCACUAAUCAGCCUGAGUGGAUGCAAGAUAACACCUUUCUCUAUAGCUCAGAUUGCAAAGUCGUCUUCAUGAAAGUUUUUCCUUAUCUUGUGAACUACAAUAUAUCCAAAUUUGAGAUCCAUCGGAGUAGUACAACUUCAGAAAUUCAAGUAUGAUGAGUAACUGUUCAUCAAUGUUCUGUUAAUCCGUCAGACUUGUUGUGAGCUUCGAAACUCCAUUUUCUCUUGUUCAGAUCAACAUACUUUCUUUCUUCAUCGAAGUUGUUCCUCAGCUUGUGAACUACAACAUAUCCAAAUUUGAGAUCCCUCGGAGCAGUAUAACUCCAGAAAUCCAGGUAUGAUGAAUGACUGGUUAUUAUUUUUCUGUCAACCCGUCAGAUUUGUUGUGAGCUUCGAAACUCCAUUUUCUCUUGUUCAGAUCGGUAUGCUUUUCUUCAUUGAAGUUGUUCCUCAGCUCGUGAACUACAACAUAUCCAAAUUUGAGAUCCCUCGGAGCAGUAUAACUCCAGAAAUCCAGGUAUGAUGAAUGACUGGUUAUUAUUUUUCUGUCAACCCGUCAGAUUUGUUGUGAGCUUCGAAACUCCAUUUUCUAUUGUUCAGAUCGGCAUGCUUUCUUCAUUGAAGUUGUUCCUCAUCGUCUCUUUCAUAACAUAUCAAAAAUUCAGAAUGAACUAAUGGUUAAAUAUUUCCAGAUCUUUGAAACAUCACAGCAGCUUCGAAAUCUGCAAGAAUCCGACUGUCAUGUUUGGAACUUCAACACUUUAAUUUCCGUCGCUCAAACAGAAAUGGUUCCUUCUUGAAAGUUGUUCAUAUGCUCAAGAACUAUAGGGUGUCCAAAAUUCAGCUCCAUUGGAGAAGAGCAGAGGUUGCAGAAAUUUGAUAGAUGAAAGGAGGCGGAAGAGGGAGAGAGAGAAAAAGUCUCUUGGGUUGGAUUUCUAUUUUGGGGCAGAUUCCAAUUUUUGUAGCACCUUCAUUAUUGAUGAAUUGCUUGUACUUUUGUCCAUUAUGAAACUUGGGACUUUGGCUUGUUGUUGGAUCUAUUAUAAUAUGUUUGGGAACAUAUAUAAGUGAAUAAAUAAGAAGGAAAAUUUUGGGCCCUUGUGGGUGUAAAACAAAAAAUGUUUAUGUUUACCCAAGUGGUUUUGUGAACAAAAUUUGUUUAUUUGGAGCAAGGUUUUGUGUUGAAGCUUUGUAGGUGAAGCUUUGUAGAUGAAGCUUUCGAGGUGAAGCUUUGAUGGUGAAGCUUUGUAGAUGAAGCUUUCUGGGUGAAGCUUUGAUGGUGAAGCUUUGUAGAUGAAGCUUUCGAGGUGAAGCUUUGAUGGUGAAGCUUUGUAGAUGAAGCUUUCUGGGUGAAGCUUUGAUGGUGAAGCUUUGUAGAUGAAAGUAUGUAGAGGGAGCUUUCUAGGUGAAGAUUUUUUAGGUGAAGCUUUGUAGGUGAAGCUUUUUUAAGUGAAGCUUUUCGGGUGAAGUUUUUGUUGGGUGAAGCUUUGUGGGUGAAGCUUUUUAGGUGAAGCUUUGUGGGUGAAGCUUUGGAGGUGAAGCUUUUCGGGUGAAGCUUUUUGGAUGAAGCUUUUUUUUUUUUUUUUUUUUUUUUUUUUUUUUUUUUUGGCGCUUGACACGGUCUUCAUUUGCUUGUUUUGUAGUGACUGUGGAAGACGGAUUGCUUUCUGAAUUGAGAAGGGUUCCGGCAUCGCUUGCUAUGAAUGUAAAAGAGUGAGGGCUGAGUUGGCUAAAUUACCUCUUUAUUGAAUUCAUUGCCAAAUGGCCUUCAUUACAUAGGAUGCCGAACGGCUAUAGCUCAACACUUGUACAUCGUGAGUCUAUUUGUAGUAGUACUUCAAGUGAUCAGCGUUCCAUGGAUGGCCAAGGGUCUUGCCAUCGGAGCUUCUAAGUGUGUAAGAGCCAGGGCGACUGAUGCCAAUGACUUCAUACGGUCCAUCCCAGUUUGGACUAAGUGUGCCUUCACUCGGGACUCUGUCGCAGAGUAAUCUUUUCUUUUAAGACCCAGUCUCCUAUUUUGAAAGAACGAGGCUUGACCCUAGAGUCAUAAUAGUUGGAGAUGCGCUGCUUGUAGGCGACAUUCCUCAAGUGAGCUUGGUUUCUGUGUUCCUCGACUAAAUCCAAGUUGAGGGUGAGUUGUUUGUCAUUUUCACUUUGAAUGUAGUUCUGGACUCGGAAUGUUGCUUGCUCGAGCUCAACAGGGACAACCGCCUCUGUGCCAAAGGCAAGUGAGAAUGGAGUUUCUCCUGUUGAAGUCCGAUAUGAAGUGCGAUAUGACCAAAGAACUUGGGGUACAAAUUCUGGCCAACAGCCUUUAGCUUUGUCCAAGCUGGUUUUCAAAGUGCGCUUGAUUAUUUUGUUGAUGGCCUCAACUUGUCCAUUAGACUGGGGAUGAGCUGGAGAGGCAAAGCAUAAGUUGAUGUUGAACUUAGAGCAGAACAACCUGAACUUCUUGUUGUCAAACUGUCGCCCAUUGUCAGUGACUAUCGCAUUGGGAAUGCCGAAUCUACAAAGGAUGUUCUUCCACACGAAGUCUUCUAUCUUUGCCUCAGUAAUGGUUGCCAAGGGUUCUACUUCGGCCCACUUUGUGAAGUAGUCCACUGCAACGACUGCGUAACAGACUUUGCCCUUCCCUGCCGGCAUUGGGCCGAUCAAAUCAAGUCCCCACUGGGCGAAGGGCCAAGGGCUGAUCAUAGGAGUAAGAGGCUCUGGAGGGGAAUGAGGAAUAGUUGCAUAUCGUUGACAUUUGUCACAUGAGCGGGAUACUUUGAUGGCAUCCUGGUGGAGUGUUGGCCAGUAAUAUCCUUGGCGAAAAGUCUUGUGUGCUAGGGACCGAGAUCCAGCAUGAUCUCCACAGACUCCCUCAUGUAUUUCCCGAAGGACGAUUUCCGCCUCGGCAGGCGUAAGACACCUUAAGUAUGGCAGGCUAAAACCUCGCUUAUAGAGUUGAUCAUUGAUGAUCAGGUAGCGGGUAGACUUGUAUCGAAUUUGCUUAGCCUGGACUUUAUCAUUUGGGAGGGUGCCAUGAGCAAGGAAAUUAUAGAUCGGGGUGAUCCAACUAUCCCCCUGUUGUAAGUUGCAUACUUCUGCGGCCAUGGUGCUUGGUGUUGCCAACAGUUCGACAUGAAUUUUUCUUCCAAUCUUGUCUUCCACAGCUGAGGCGAGGCGAGCCAGGGCGUCUGCAUGACUGUUUGCCGCUCGAGGAACUUGGGUGAUCUGGUAGUGGAAGUGCUUGAGUAAAAGUUGUGUUUGCGCAAGAUAUGCUGCCAUGGAGCUGUCCUUAGCAUCAAAGUUGUUGGUAACCUGGUUGACCACUAAUUGGGAGUCACUGAAAAUAUCAAUUUGUUUAACCCCGAGGUGUUUGGCCAAACGUAAUCCUGCUAGAAGGGCUUCAUACUCGGCCUCAUUAUUUGAUGCCUUGAAUUUGAAACGAAGAGCAUACUCCAUUGCUACUUUGUCGGGUGUAGUCAAGACUAGUCCCGCUCCACAGCCCUGUUGGUUGGAUGAGCCAUCAACAUACAGACUCCAUGCUGGGGUUGUUGGUUCUAUCUUCUGAGCUUCCGGGGGUAAUGAAGCCACUGUUUCAGGUGUAGAAGCAAUGUCAACCGGAUAUGUGAAGUCGGCAAUGAAGUCUGCCACUGCUUGGCCCUUCUCAGCUGGCUUUGGUUGGUAGGAGAUGUCAAACUCACCCAACGCUAUUGCCCAUUUGAUCAUUCGCCCUGAAGUGUCAGGACUUUGGAGUAUCUGUCGAAGAGGAUAAUUGGUAAGCACGAUGAUGGAGUGCGCUUGGAAGUAAGGGCGGAGUUUUCGAGCAGACAUGACCAAUGCCAGAGCCAAUUUCUCAAUGUUAGAGUACCGUGUCUCCGCAUCUUGUAAGGCUUUGCUAGCGUAGUAGACAGGUCGCUCAAUAUUCCCAUCCUUUCGAAUGAGAACGGAACUUACGGCUGAAGCUGAUACCGAUAGGUAGAUAAUGAGAAUGUCUCCUACCUCGGGCUUGGUGAGUAGAGGGGCUUUACUCAUGUACUCCUUGAGGUUUUUGAAUGCCUCGGCACAUUCAUCAGUCCAUGUAAUGUACUUCCUACUUCCCUUAAGUGCUUUAAAAAAGGGAGCACAUUUGUCUGUGGCCUUAGAAAUGAACCUGGUUAAGGCUGCCACCUUGCCAGUAAGGCUCUGGAUGUCCUUUGAAGUUACCGGUUCCUUCAUGUCGAGGAUUGCUUUGAUCUUCUCGGGAUUAGCUUCAAUGCCUCGUUGGCUAAUCAUGAAACCUAAGAAUUUGCCAGAGCCUACGCCGAAGGCACAUUUGUUGGGGUUUAACCUCAUUCGAUACCUCUUCAAAAUAGUGAAAGUUUCAGAUAGGUUGGUGAUGUGUUGGUCAGCAUGUUUGCUCUUGACUAACAUAUCAUCAACGUAAACUUCCAUGCUCUUCCCAAUCUGCUCGGCGAACAUUGAGUUGACUAGUCUCUGAUAAGUCGCUCCUGCAUUCUUUAGGCCGAAAGGCAUGACUUUAUAGCAGUAUAGUCCUCUGUCGGUAGUGAAGGCUGUGUGUUCUUGAUCCGAAGGGUUCAUGAGGAUUUGGUUGUAUCCUGAGUAAGCAUCCAUGAAGCUCAGGAGUUCACACCCGGCCGUAGAGUCUAUAAGUCUGUCAAUAAGAGGAAGAGGGAAGCUAUCUUUCGGACACCCUUUGUUUAGGUCGGUGUAGUCAACACACAUUCUCCACAAGACCUUUUGAAGCGAAAGACUUUCUUUGGUCGGAUUUUUCCUAACAAGGACCACAUUUGCUACCCAUGUCGGGUAAUUGACUUCGCGGACAAAGCCUAUGCCUUUGAGUUUUUCAACUUCUGCUUUCAUUGCCUCGUAUCGUUCAGCGUCAUAAGAUCUUCGCUUCUGUCUCACCGGCUUGAUCUUGGGGUCAAUACUCAAACGAUGACAGAUGACAUCGGGAGAGAUGCCUGGCAUGUCCUCGUAUGACCAGGCGAAGACUUCAGUGUUCUCUUUCAAAAAAGAUAUCAAUGCUAACCGAAGGGGUGGUGACAAUGUGGUGCCAAUCUUCACCAUGUGAUCUGGAUAAUCUCUUGAGAUAGGUACCUUCUCCAACUCUUCAGCAGGUUGGGCUUGCUGGGUGAAAGAGUCAUCUCGAGGAUCAUCGGGUUGAUUGUUGCUAUCAGGAAGAUCCAAGUUCGCUUCAUCUAGGCUGGUCUUUGUGACUUGGUCAUGUACAGACAGGGUUUCCUUGGGUCCGGGCAAGUGUUGUUGCUUAACUGAAGUGUUGUAACAUGAUCGUGCACUAAGCUGAUCUCCUCUGAUGUAGCCGUUGCCAUGGGGGGUUGGAAAUUUCAUCAACAGCAUAUGCGUGGAUACCAUAGCCUUGAGAUCAUUGAUGCCUGUGCGCCCAAAGAUGACAUUGUAUGCCGUUGGGCAGUCAACCACUAGGAAGUUAGUGGUAAUGGUAGCCGUGUAAGGGCCUGUACCAAUAGUAAAGGGUAAAUGUAUGCUCCCUAAGGGUUGCACGAUAUCACCGGAGAAGCUUAUCAGAGGAGAAAUCGAGCGAUCGAGCAAGUGUUCAGCUACACUGAGUGCCCUGAAAGCUUCGGCAAACAUGAUAUUGACCGAAGCCCCUGUGUCUACGAGGAUUCGUCGAACAUCAAAGUUGGCUAUGUGAGCCUCCACGAUCAAUGGGUCGUUAUGAGGGUAGAUGAUGCCUCUUUCUUCCUCAGGGUAGAAACAUAUCGGAUCCCAGUUAGGCUUUUGAUACUUCCCUCCCCUGAUGUCUUCCACGUGAAACACUUGGUGACCAGGCCUCAGAAUUCGUUCACUGUUUUUCAUGGCCCUAUUGGAAGAUUCAGAUAUGGGUGUGCCGCCGCUUAUGGAAUAUAUGACAUUCACCUGGCGUUGGUUACGGUUAUCCCUUUGAGGGUGAAGGAGGAAUUGAUCAAUUUUUCCUUCUCGUGCCAAAGCUUCAAUACGAUCACGGAGGAUGAUACAUUUCUCGCUAUCAUGGCCGUUAUGCUCAUGGUAGCAACAAAACAUGCCCGCGUUAUUCGGGGGCGUGUAAUCUGGGUGCCUCGGCUUUGGCUUUGGUAUCAGGUGAGCUAUGCUGGGGUAAAUGGCCGCGCAUGUGGCAUUCAAGGGCGUGUAUGUCUCAUACCUUGGGGUAGGGGGUAUCUUGACGCGGGUUUGACCCACUGCAUUGACUGCCUGGGGGCGAGCGUUAUUGUGGCGAUACCCUUGGUUAUCGGGAUAGUGUCCCUUACUCUUUUUUACUGAAAUGAGAGUGGUGAGGAUGGAAAUCCUUCCUCUUGCCUUGAAAUUGAUAUGUCUGUUGAUUCGGCGAAGCAUUAUGCAAGGCAUGGGGAGGUGCCACUGCUGUUUGGAAAGUCGAGGUCUUCUCAUUUAGGUGAGUCUGGCUUCCACCUCCCACUUGUUGAUAAAGGAUGGUUGUAGGGGGUUUCUCCUGAUAUGUCUUUGCCUCGGCGGAGGCAUGGUUAUAAGCCUGCGCCAUCACCUCAGAGUAAGUCUUCCAAGUAUUGGCAUUGAUCAUGUAUUUAAAGAAACAAUCACGUAGGCCUGCCGUGAAGGCUUUGAGGGCAGUCUUGUCGUCUGCCUCGGCACACCGGGAGUAUUCAUGGCUGAAGCGGCCAGCAUACAUACGUAAUGACUCGUCUGGCUUCUGGCGGAUAGUGUACAGGUCAUCUGCAGAGUGCAAGCGAUCGGUUUGGAAAAUGUGUUGGGAAACAAAUAGUUUCCUCAAUUCCUCAAAUGAGUCUACCGUCUCAGGUGUAAGACGACAAUACCAAUUUAGAGCUCCGCCAGAGAGGGUGGAGGGGAAGAGAAGACAUCGCUCUUCGUCGGUGUGCAUCCGGUAUGCCAUGGUGGACUCAAAGAGGUUAAGGUGCUCAAUCGGGUCCUCUUUUCCAGUAUAAAGUUGCAAGCCAAGCUUUUUGCUUUGUCUUUGCUUGAAGGGGGGUGUUGAGGAUCCUCCUUGUAAGAGGGCCAGGCCUGGGUUGGUUCCAGUCAGGUAUUUCAGCCUGACGUUCAGCCUUCAACUUGUUUACUUCCUCAAGAAGUUGUAGGACAAGGGGGUCCUGAGCGGAGUUAUGUGCCACUGGAGCUUUCUUUCGUAAAUCUCCAUCUUCUCUUGGAAUUAGGAAGGUUUGAUCAAGGGCAUGUGAUUUUUCCCUGGACUCGCUGUACUGGCUUCCAGGGUAUGUCUGUCGGAACACCUCUGAGUCCCCUGUACCCUCAUGUCUCUCUAGGACUUGUUGCCCCUUCCCCAAAUUGGUGGCCGGCUUGGGCCGUGGCAGGGGACCGAGUCUCUCAGAAAUCCUUGGGUCAUUAAUCUUUGAGCUUAUAUGGAUGGAAUUCUCUCGACGUUGCUUCAGGAAAUCCCGACAAUAGCGAAAGACAGCUUUCGAUCCUUCUGCCCCUUCAGCAAAGAGGUGUCUCCCUCCACUUCUCAUGGUUCGGGUUGAAGCAACUGGGUUAAGAGAAGCCUCAUGUUGAUUAUCAAGUCGAGGGGUAAUCUGUUCCCUAUCAGGGAUAUCUAUGUCGAAUGCAUGUGACCCUCCAUGUUGGAGGGCACCCAGUUGAUGGUUGACUUCCACGGGGGCAACAAGCUCGCGUGUCUGAGCUUGCCUAGCUUCGUGGAGUGUCUCGAAGAGCUUCUCAUAUUGCUCCUGGAGGACCUCAUUCCUCAUUGCUAUCUUGUUGUUCUGAGCUUCCAACUCAUCGACUUUAGCUUGAAGAAGAACUCGUUUUCCUUCCUUCUUUCGUUGUUUCGCACUAUGUGCAAGGGGGGUGUCAUUCUGUGUGCUGUGGCUUCCUUCGCUUCCCAUGUUGGAGAGGGAUGCCUGGUCAAAAGAAAGUGUACGAAUGAUAGAAACCAGCUUGACACAGCUGAAGAGAGUAGGAAUAAGUGUCGUUUCCCACAGACGGCGCCAAAUGUUGAUUAUCAAAAUCAGCGAAGACUUUGGUACAACAGAAAGUGUCAGGUUUUGUGACCUUCGCUUGGUUGCUUCGGUCACUAGUGAGGAUAAAUACGUAAAUAAAUAGAGACAGAGAAGCAAACACAGGAUGUACGUGGUUCACCCAGAUUGGCUACGUCCACGGAGUAGAGGAGUUCUUAUUAGUAGUGAAGGGCUUACACAAGUACAAAGGAUCAAGCUCUCAAUUUAGUGAGUUCUUGUGAAUGAUUUAACACAAAAUGGCAUUAGGCAAUAUUGUGGGGGAAUGACCCCUAUUUAUAGAAAAACUUGUAGCUUUGUCACAUUGACAUGUGUCAUGUUAUGAUUGGUUCUUGAUGUUGACACGUGAUGCGCUCUGAUUGGCUUCUAAUCCUGACACGUGUCGAGUAGUGAUUGGCCUCCUGGUCGGAGGGGAACUCUUCUGGGUCCUUGACAGUAUAGCGUUGGCCGGUGCUCGGUAGUUUCGGGAUUGGUCAAGUAUGGUACAAACAAGUUGUACUUAGUACAUUUGAUGGGCAAUCAUAUUUUAGUUGGUUCCGUUGAGUGGUCCGGAAUCCUUUUUGGUGUCUUGGUUCCGUUGAGAGGUCCGGAACCCGAUGCUGAUGGAUUUCGUUGAGGGGUCCGAAAUUGCAUCAUUUGAUUCAUUUAAGACAGCUUCAGCAAUGUAGACUUAUGUCGAAUUGUGUCGCUCUAACCCGGCAUUCCGAUGAAUUGUAUGUGUUAUUGAUGAUAUGGUGAUUGGCAUUAUUGAUUGAUGUGAUAAUUGGAUGGUAAUGGAAUGCAUAUGUGAGGAUGAAUGACGUUAUGAGUAGAGAUUAUUAUUGUGCUUUGUUAAAUGUUCCUUAAGGUGCUACAUAAUUGAAUUGUGGUAUUAUGUUGAGACCUAGUGGUCUAUGUGACGAAUGUUCGAUAGUAGUGAAAUGUGAACUACGAAUGACUUGAUCCCUGUUGAGGGUACGUAGGUAGUCUAACGAGGAGGUUAGAUGCAGUCAUAAAAUACACAAAAAUUACAACGAAAUUCGAAUAUUGAAUUAUGCUUUGUAAAUAUUUCGGGCGGGAUAUGUGAGAUAUACGGGUUUUUAAUGACGUCACGUGCUGAUCUUGGACGUAUGUCGGGAUCAGGGCGUGACAAAAUGAGUUUUAUGAAAUGAAAUGGCAUGCCAAUUAUAUUUAUAUUAAGAAUGUGCAUAUGUGAUUAUAUAUGUUGUGAUUCGAUGCUAUGGGCGCUCAGGUAAGUUUCAAGUAAGUUUAUGUGUUGAGUUUAAGGUGUGGAAAAAUGAUGAUUGUUGAGAUGUGUUGAGAGCUCAUUAACCUGCACCCGGGUGUUAGUGCUCCUGCCCAUGGUUAGGGGCACAGUCUUUCACGUGAUGUUUACCUCCCGUAGCACACGCUCAUCUUGGAUCCAAGUUAGGUGCACAAUCCUGUUGUAUAGACCACUUUCAGUGGGUUCGACUCGUUGGUGACCUGCAAUCAUUCGCACAGUCUUCACGUGAUUGUAGCAUUAGAGCAUAUUUGUUUUACACCCAGUCAUGUCGUAUAGACCACUAUAGGUGGGUUCGACUCGUGUGCAGACAUGAUUUAUGAGAUAGAAUUCAGUUGAUUUGAUAUUCUCACAUGUUAUCACUCCUUGGGGUACUUACCUUGUUAUUUGAGAUGAUUGGCAUGGUAUAUUCACGUUUUGACUUUGGAUUUUGAUAUUGCUGGAUAUGUUGAGAUUACGAGUAUAUGUAUAUGCUAUUUGCUGGGAAAUUAUACAGGUUUUACAGAGAGGGGUUAUACUUUUGAGAAAUGAAAUGAUUUUGAAAAGUUUUGUUUUUUGCCCACUCACGCGUUUUGUUUUGCGCCCCUCUAGGUUUUAGGUAGCGUUGUUGGUGGCUUACGAGUUUUCAGCGGAGGUUCUGACAGACCAUCACUUAUGUAGAAUCACCUUUGGGUGUUGUUAUUUAGUACUUUUAUGCUUGACUGCACUUAGGCUAGUUAAGCUCUGAUUGUGUAUUCACACUUAAUUUCCACUCUUGCAUCUUAGUCUUGUCUAGUACUAUCAGGAUUUGGUUUCUAUUCAAUUGUAUUUCUCUAUAUUAAUCUUGCUUCCGCACUGUGCAUAUGGCUACGUCACCCUCACGUGACGGUUAGCAUGUCUCGAUCUUGGUCGGGGUGUGUCAUCAAGUCACCUUUUAACUUCUAUUAUGUUGAUUUUUGUCUGUAGGUACACAAAAAUAUGCAGAUUUGGCUUUCAAAUUGAGAGGCCUAAGGACAAUCUCUGUUCAUAGAAAAAAAAGUUGGACAUAGAAGGCAUGGGUAUGGGAACAUGAUUGGUUGUUAUAUUGCUUUGGGACGUUUUGAUAUUUUAGAGAUUAAUGAGUUUGUGGAGAUUUUGUUUUUCACAUCUUGCUUUGUAUUUGAACUUAAGCACUAUAACUGAACUUACUUUAAAAUUAUAGGACUUCAAAACGCGACCGCGGUUAGGAUUAGAAAGGGCCAAGUAUAUAUGUUGAGAAACUAGGCAUUGCAAGCAUAUAAAUUCCAAUUUUAUUAUUGCUAAACCAUAUAUCAAAUGUAGUUAGGAAUUAAAUUAAGUACAAACUACAUGGGGAUGGAGAAAGUUAUGUAUAGGUGAGAGCCUAAAAAUACUUGAGAAUCAAAUACUGCACAAAUUUGUGAUAAGUUAGAUGAGUAAAGAUCGCCUUUUGUCAAGCAGUUUUUGACUUUUCUGCAUUCUUUUAUAUAGUUUUUUCUUUUUUUCUUCCUAUUUUGUCAGAUUAGAUAGAUAGGGGCGCUAAUAAAAAAAAAGAAAGAAAGUAUUUUUGCAUUUUGCUGCACGUGAUGAUGUUGAUGAUAUACAAUAUUCAAUGACUAAACCCUAUUCCCUAUACUAUAGCAAAAAAUGAAGCAUAAUUAUACAAUAGCUACACACAAAACAUUGAAAGUAUACAUGCGUGCAGUAAGAAUGAAUGGUAAAAAUGCCAUGUUCCUUUUAACAUUGCGAAUUACCGAGCUUUAUGGAGGGAGUAUAAAUACGAAUGCUCUUGGUGGUCUUCAUCUAAUUUCUUAUUAGUAUCAUCUCGAUGUUUUGGAACUUUUGACAGCCCUCUCACCGAACAUAUAAUUUUUAGGGGCGCGCAGCGCUCGUAAUUAAAAAAACGCGCAUGCGGAGAGGCUGGUAUAUACUAAAGUCCUACGCCCAAAAAUGCUGUUCAUAAGAGCAGUGUAAAGACGCAAAUACCCCUCCUCAACUGAUCUUUUCCUUCCUAUAUUUCAUGAGGCUACAGUAAAAAGACGAAAAACCAUGUUGCACACGUGGCGUGCUAGCGAGAUUUCUCUCUUCCACCGCUUCCUUCCUCUGCAGUCUACACCUCUUGCGUUUUUGCCUUUCCUCUCCAGCUGUCGGCCAUCACAGAGUCUUAUGGCAUCUUCCCGUUCUUUUCGCUGUUUUUCCUUCGGUUGCUUUUCACUUCUUUUCCUCUAAUUUGACUUCGUUUGUUUUGUGUUAUGUGGUUUUUAUUGAUUUUCAAUGUGUAUUGAUUGAUACUAACAAUUACAAGAUGAAACUUAUAUAUAGGGAAAGAAAGAUGACAUAAGCCUAACUUGCCUAACUUGCCUAACUUACACAAAGAAAGUUGACUAGCCUAACUUCACUAGUCAUCCAAUACAAUUGUUCCAACAUGUUUAUUUCAUGCAUUUUAACACUCCCCCUCAAGUUGGAGUGUGGAUGUCAAUGAUACCCAACUUGCUAAGUAAGACCUCAAAUUGCGCCGAGCUUAGUGGUUUGGUGAACAAAUCUGCAGGUUGAUUCGAGGUUCGUAUGUAAGCUGUUUGCACCAUUCCCAUCUGAAUCUUCUCACGUACUAAGUGACAGUCGAUCUCUAUAUGCUUCGUUCGUUCAUGAAACACUGGGUUCGAAGCAAUGUGCAUGGCAUCUUGAUUAUCACAAAACAAUGUGACUGGUUGUGCAUGAUUCACUCGUAAGUCCUUCAAAAGGUUUCUUAGCCAUAUAACUUCACAACAGGUGAUAGCCAUAGAACGAUAUUCUGCCUCUGCACUAGAACGAGAUACUGUGCUUUGCUUCUUUGUUUUCCAAGAUAUCGGUGCUUGCCCAAGGAAGAUACAAUAACCGGUUAUUGACCUUCUAGUGUCUUUACACCGAGCCCAAUCAGCAUCACAAAAAGCUUGUAAUUGUAGUGAACCUGUAGAAGGCAAAAGAAUUCCCUGGCCAGGAGAUUGUUUGAUGUAUCUGAGAACCUUAUACACUGCAUCAAGGUGUGGUUGUCGCGGCUUGUCCAUGAAUUGGCUUAACAUAUUAACCACGUAAGUCAGGUCAGGCCUCAUGAUGGUUAAGUAAAUUAGCCUCCCUACGAGUCUCCUAUAUGAAGAAGGAUCAUGUAGGAGCGUCCCUUCAGUUUAUGUAAGGGACAAGUUUGGUUCCAUGGGCAAUCGUGAGGGCUUCGCACCAAGGAACCCAACAUCUUCUAGUAUCUCCAACGCAUAUUUGCGUUGGCACAAGGCAAUCCCUUGUUUAGAUCUUGCAACUUCUAUCCCCAAAAAAUAUUUGAUUUUUCCCAAAUCCUUUAGCUUAAAAUGUUGGGAAAUGAAGAGUUUAGUCUCUUCAAUUUCUCUCAAAUUGUUACCUGCAAGUAUUACGUCAUCAACAUACACAAGUAAUGCCAUGAAACUGCCUUGAUUGAUGAAAACCAGCAGUCUUGAGAGCACUAGACAGCUUAAUAAACCACUGUCUUGAGGCCUGUUUUAAACCAUAAAUGGAUUUGUGUAAUUUGCAUAGUUGUGUCUCCCCCUUUCGUCCGAACCCAGGAGGUAUAUAAACCUCAUCGUAUAAGUCACCAUGCAAAAAUGCGUUGUUUACAUCAAGUUGGUGAAGAUGCCAACCACAGAUGAAGGCAAUACUGAGGAGGACAUGGACGGUGGUGAGCUUGGCAACUGGAGCAAAUGUUUCCCGAUAAUCAAGCCCUUCAAUUUGACUAUAGCCUUUAGCAACGAGACGGGCUUUGUAGCGUUCAACACUGCCGUCAAGUUUAAGCUUCACCUUAUAGAUCCAUUUGCAGCCUAUGGGAUGUUUGUGAGGUGGUAAGGGCACAAGAGUCCAAGUGCGAUUGUCAUGGAGGGCAUCAAUCUCUUUUUGCAUGGCGUCACGCCAUUUUGGAUCCUGAACAGCCUGCGAAAAACUGGUGGGUUCUUUGAUAAUGGUGAGGGUGGUGAGAAAGGUUUUGUGAGGGGGGAUACAUGGUCAUAGGAUAAAUAACGAGAUAGGGAGUGAGAUGUACCUGAGGACUGAACCAUGCUUGUGGAAGAUGUGGGUGCAACACGGGAUGGGAGGGCCACCUCAACAUGAAAGUCUUGCAAAAAUAUGGAAGUUUUGGUUGGUCGAGUGCUAGGACGGAGUGCAGGGGUUGGAUCUGGUGAUGGAGUGGUUGGAGGUGGGGAAGAGUGUAGGGUAGGUGAAGGUGUUGAUAAGGUAUCUGGUGGUGGAGUUGUAGAGGGUAAAGGAGAUGAGGGUGGUGUGAUGUCGGCAAGUGUGGGAGAUGUGGUGUUUAUGUCUGCUGGUGCAAGGCUUGAAUGCGACUCAAUGGGAGAGGUCGAGUCAAACGGGAUAGGUGUAGUGUUUGAUGGAGACGGGGCAACGGAAGUGUUACAAUGUUGGAAUGGAAAAUGAUCUUCAAAAAAUACGACAUCCCUAGAAACAAAAGUCUUAUUGUGUUUUAUAUCAAACAAUUUAUAACCCUUUUGACCAUAAGGAUACCCAAGAAAAAUGCAUUGGAUUGCACGAGGGUCAAAUUUAGAGGGCCUUUGGGCAUGUGUAGAAGCAAAACACAAGCUACCGAAAACCUUCAAAUGAGAAUAGUUAGGUGCUUUGUGAAACAGUUUUUCGUAUGGUGUUUUACCUUGGAGAAGUGGAGUGGGUGUUCUAUUGAUGAGGUAGGCUGAGGUUAGGAUUGCAUCUCCCCAAAAACAUUUUGGCAGACAAGCUUGAAAGAGCAAAGCCCGAGCAACAUUGAGCAAGUGCCGGUGUUUACGUUCGGCAACACCAUUUUGUUGUGGUGUGUUGACUCAACUAGAUUGAUGUAUGAUGCCUUUGAGAGCAUAAAAUUGCUCAAGUUUAAACUCAGGGCCAUUGUCACUUCGUAUGAUUUGAACUCUGGUAUUGAAUUGAGUCUCAAUCAUUUGAAUGAAUUUGACUAAAAUGUCUUUUGUGUCAGAUUUAUGUUUCAUCAAAUGAACCCAAGUGCUUCUAGUGUAGUCAUCUACGAUGGUAAGGAAAUACUUGGCACCUGAAAUAGAAGCAACUUGAUAACCACCCUAAAUAUCAAUAUGCAAUAAUUCAAAACAUGAUUUGGUAGAAAUAGAGCUCAAAGGAAAGGGUGAUCGUGUUUGUUUGGCCAAUGGGCAAAUUGAACAUUUUUCCAAAUCACAAGCUUUAUUGUUAAAGAAAGGUAAUAACGAAGUGGCUUUAUGAGAUGGGUGUCCUAGGCGUUGGUGCCAAAGCUUUGGUGCGAUGGUUUGAAUAUUGUUGCAUGUUCUUUUCCUUGAUGAGUCGAGGUAGUAGAGUCCAUCCCUUUCAGUUCCCAUCCCAAUCAUCUUCCCCGAGCGAAGGUUCUGAAUGACACAAAAUUGGGUGAAGAAAAUUGUGACAUAUAAGGAAUCAUAGGCUAGUUUACUGAUGGAUAUUAAAUUUAAUUUAAAGAAUGGCACACAUAGGACAUUGUCAAGGAUAAGAUUAUGAGAGAAAACAACUUGUCCAAUGUGAGUGACUUUGGCAACGGAACCAUUUGGCAGUUCAACUGUAUGAUUUUCAACAGCUCGUGAGUGUGUAAAGAGACUAGGGUUGAAAGUUCUUCAUGACUAGAAGGAUUACCGACUUGAUUGGCAAAUGAUGAUUUGUUCUUGUUCAACAUUUGAAGGAUUUGCUUGCAAUCCUCCUGAGAGAACGGGAAAUUGGGCAACAUCUCUUGCUUGUUACUUUGUGAAACUUGAUUCCCUUUUGAAGAAAAAGGACGACUGCUUUCCGUUUCUGUGGCUGCUUUUCGUUUUCGACAGAAAUCGAAGGUGUGACCUUUCCAUCCACAAAAAGUGCACUUGAGAUGUGCACGACAGUUUUUGGUGAUGUGAUUUGUUCUAUUGCACUUUCCACAUCGCAUCUCUUUGUCUUCCGGUGUAGGUUCUUGCGACAAAUUCUUCACUCCAAAGACAACAGCCUCUGGUUGUGUACUCUUCCCAUUGGAAACCUCUGCCUGGCGUUCAUGUCGAAGGACCAACGCAUAUGCCUUGUUCACCGUAGGCUGUGGUUCAAGAAGAAGGGUAUUGCUUCGAACCGUAGCAUACGAUUCGUUCAAUCCCAUAAGGAACUUCAUGGUUUUCUGAGUUUCAACAUAUGAGUUCAUCUCAUUCUUUGUUCCACAACUGCAUGCUGGAAUGGAACACAAAGUAUCACGUUCAUCCCAUAAACUUUUAAGUUUAGUGCAGUAAGAACUUACACUCAUAUUGCUUUAGACGCAAUCAUGGAUCUCGUUCUUAACAUGGAACAGCUGAACUAUAUUCACAUGUGAGAACCUCUCCUGCAGAUCGGUCCACAUUUGUCGAGCAUCCUUGUAGUUGAUGACACUCCUUGAAAUCUCCUUUGACAUGGAGCCUAGUAGCCAUGUCUUGACCAAGUUGUUGCAGCGAUUCCAUUGUUGCAACUCCUCAGAAUUGUCCUCACUUGGUUUGUUGAUUGUCCCAUCAACAAAACCAAGUUUGUUCUUGACCGUUAAGGCCAUACUCAUGGAUUGAACCCAUGUGCUGUAGUUGUCUUCCACCAAUGGUUGUGGUACGAGGAUUGCACCAGGUUGGUCCGAGUGGUGGAGAUAGAGUGGGUGGUUGGGAUUUUCCCAUUUUGAAUGAGAAGCCAUGCCUGGAAUGGUUGACCUCAUGACUGCCUUAGAGCUUGUGUUUUGUGGUUUUCCCAGAUCACAGCUCUGAUACCAUAUUGAUUUUCAAUGUGUAUUGAUUGAUACUAACAAUUACAAGAUGAAACUUAUAUAUAGGGAAAGAAAGAGGACAUAAGCCUAACUUGCCUAACUUGCCUAACUUACACAAAGAAAGUUGACUAGCCUAACUUCACUAGUCAUCCAAUACAAUUGUUCCAAUACAAUUGUUCCAACAUGUUUAUUUCAUGCAUUUUAACAGUUUUGGUUUCGUUUGCUCUCUUUCCCUUCUUCUCUGUUGGUUUCUGUUGCUUCUCCAUCAGUUCACCCAAACCACCGCUUGCUUCUCCACCAGUUCACCCAAAUCCGACGAAGGGCGCCACAACAAACGUGCCAAUCUUCCUGCACCACCGGUCUCCGCAACGUUUUCCAAAACCCGCUUGACCGAAGGUAAGCGAAUUUGGUGUUCUGGAUUAUAUCGGAAUUGAAAUAGGUUUGGUUUCAUUAACUUUUUGGGUUAAUAAAUUUGUAUGCUCUGAUUCUUUUGAAUUUGAGUUUGGAUUGGAAUUUAAUUUUGAUUUACAAAUCUCUGAUAAAACCUCAACAAGAAACUUAAACCCUCAGCAAGAAACUUAAACCCAAUGCAUCAUCCUAUUAAUUCCAACAUCUCCUCAAUAAGUAUUCUAAGAUAUAAAUAUUACAAUUCUGGUGAUCAUAGAAAAAUGCAUAUUUGAGUGAUCAUGGAACACUGUUAGUAGCUACACAUAUCAUAAUAAUUUAGGAUAUGGACGUUAAAUUAUCUUAAACUGCAGAAUGUGGCUUUUACAUUGUUAUAUGGAAUUUCCCCUAGGAAGAAAUAGCAUUGAACUUAUAGGAUGGAUACAUAAAUAGCCUAUGUACGCAUUACAAAAUGAUUUAGUUGUUUGGGAUUAAACAAAGUUUGGUUUUUCAUGGUGAGUUCUCAACUGGGUUUUACUUAUUUUUUUGCCUCCGAUAUAAGUUUUAGAUGCUUUUCUUUGUUUUUCGCUAAUUUUUAAAUUUAUUUUUUUUACUAUUUAGUGUGAGAAAAUGGCUUCAAAAUUGGAUUUCCAAUGUCUGGGCAGAGGAAAACAGGAAGAGAACACCAAUGGUGGUUACGAAGGAGAAUCCCUUCUUUGCGGUGGAAAUUGACGGUCCAUGUGCAACAUUCAACCCAGUUUAUAAGAGCAGGGGUCAAUAUGAAGAACCAAUGACAUGGGGUUUUGUUUAAUUUUAUUAAGUUUUGUACUGAGGUAAAAUUCUCCCCAUUUAACAUAGUUUUAAAUGUUGAUUAGUAUAUGUGUAAAUAGGAUUGUGAGUAUGGUUGUAUAUGUAGUAGUAGAAUUGAAAACAUUGUUGUAAUUAUGUGUAAGUAGAGUUGUAAACCCGACGCAUCGCGCGGGCCUUUUUGCUUGUUACCCCUAAACGUUACAAAAAUCCCAAAAAUUAAAAGGAAACUAAAAAAAAUUAGAAUUUACCCAUAGUUUCGCGAAUCCCAGCCGGAUGAACUGGUGGCAGUUGUAAGAGCGGAUCUCCAGCUCCGAACCUCUUCUAUUUCAGCGUUAGAAUCAUGGUCGUGCUGAUCAAAAGCUUUCGCGAAACUUCCCUUUAGUUUACGACAUCAGACGGAUCAACUUCAUAGAAAAUGGGGAGUACAAUCUGUUUAUUGGUAUCCUCGCAUUCCAGGAUUUGCACGAGUUCUUUCAAGCACCAAGUGGAAGAAGCAUAGUUUUGAGAGAAAACUACAAUCGAAAUCCUUGACUCUCGAAUGGCUGACAGGAGCUUGGAAAGGCGGUCGCCUUUUCUGAGGUCUUCGGCAUCAAUGAAGGCGUUGAUUGGUUUCUGACGCAGGGCUUUGUAGAGAUGGCUGACGAAGCCCCUGCGAGUGUCUUCCCCUCUGAAAUUGAUGAACACAUCGUAUUUCCAACCAAGGCCAGAAGAAGAAGAAGAAGCAGCCAUUAAUCGAUCGAGCAGCUAAGUCCUAGAGUAAUGUAAGAACAGAAAUACUCGAUUGAUCAAUAAAUUGAAUCACAGAAAAAACUGGUCUGAUCGAUACGAAGUCAACGAGGACAGAAAAUUAUGCUUUAUGUGUUUUCACAUCUUCUUCCGGGAAAUUUAACGAAAAUAAUUUUCUUGCCGGCAAAAUUGACUUCAAAAUAUAAAAAUAUUCUUCCAGGUAUGGACAUAUGAAGUUUCAGUGUGAAACGAAUCUGCAUACUUUGGUUUGGUUUUGACCCAAGAAAAUGCUAAGAAAGGAUGGUUUAGCAGCUUUGCAUGAGGGGACUGGGUCAAAGUACUCUGUUGAAUCUGCCCUUGCCUACCCAACAACUUCUUUGUAAGUCGGAAAUAAAUCCCGAUCUUCCUAUUCACACGAAAAAUGAGUGGGGUGACAGGAAAUAUUUCUUGUUAAAUGUAAGCAUCUCACACAUGUGGUAUAUUCAAAGGUAUUGAGGCGACAAACGAGCGAUUAAUAGUUUGGCUUUUAAUUUGAUGUCACGGUAGUAACGGUACUUACUAUGAAAUCUUUGAUAUAUUUGCUUUUAGCUACAAAACAACUAAAACUCCACAAAUUGCUUAUGAAAAUAAAAAAUAUUGACAAGAUUUGAACUUGUAUUAUCUACAUCUUCACUACACAUUGUUGCUCCGCUCGUGUUCUGAAGUUGACAAUAGCUAGAAGGUCACAGCAAGAAGCAGAGGAGGCUAACUGUUACAGAAAAUUUGUUUAUUCAAAGCAUUAAUAAAAACACAUUGAAAUUAAUUCACGCAAAAAAUAAAUAAUACAGUGAAGGAUUUACAGUGGUGGCAGCCACACUUCAAAAAUAGGGCGUCUCACCCUGUGGAGAAAGCAUUUUUUGCUAUGAAUAAAAAUUCCACUGCGUAACAAAACAGGAGAUUAAUGAUUGAGUGAUAGCUGAGUUGUUUGCAAUGAGAGAGAUGUUUUUACUUUUAUUGAUAAGGAGUCUACAUAUGCGAUGUUCUCAUAGUAUAAAACUUCGCCGACAACAAUUAUAACUUGUUUGUGUUGAUAAAUUUUGAAUGACAUUAAUAUUGUCUAAUAUCUAAAAGAAUUUGGAUGGCUACAUUUUUUUUUUUUGGAAAACCUUUUAACCUUAUAAAUUGCGGGCUUCUUCCGACAAUUCCUAACUUCGUCACUGCUUCAGUCAACUCGAAGUCCUAGUGGUUCUUGUCCAUGAUAUCAAUAUCCCUACAAUAAACGGUGACUUCAAUAUGAGCUACACUCAGUCUAACAAAAAGUUUGUAUAGAGAAGAUAUGCAUGAAAAAAUGGCAAUGGUUGUGUUUGUGUUGCUGAACGAAUGAUACUGAAAUACCUAAACCCAAGUCAAGCUCCUUUAGUCCACGAAAACAAAAGUUUAGAAUACAAUAAUGUUUGCAUAUAGACUAGAGAAACGACAUACCGCAGGCCAGGAAGGUGCAGUGAAAGAGAGAGGAAGAGAGGAAAAGAGGAAAGAAACAAACAUGAAAUGACAAAGACUAUCAAAUAGAUUAUAACAAUGACUUCUUAGCGAUGGUUACAACUAUUUAACUAUCGAUAAUGCAUUAUUUUAGUUUGAAACGUGGAAGCAUUUGAGAAGUAGCAUGUCAACAACCAUUACACAAUAAUAUUGUCUAAUAUCUAAAAGAAUUUGGAAGUCUACAUUUUUUGGAACCUUUUACCCUUAUAAAUUUUGCGCCUCUCCUGACAAUUUCUAGUUUCGUCGUUGCUUCAGUCAACUCCAAGUUCUAGUGGUUCUUGUCUAUGAUAUCAAUAGCCCCACCGUAAAUGGUGACUUCAGUAUAAGCUACACUUAGUAUAAGUGUAUGGGGGACAUAUAUGUAUGAAAAAAUGGCAGUGGUUGUAUCUGUGUUGACUAACGGAUGGUACUGGAAUACCUAAACCCAAGUCAAGCUCCUUCAGUCCACAAAAAUCAAAAGUUUAUAAUAUAAUAAUGUUUGCAUAUAGACUUGAGAAAAGACAUACCGCCAGCCGGGAAGGUGCAAUGAACAAGAGAGGAAAAGAGGAAAUAAACGAACAAGAAAGGACAAAGACUAUCCAAUAGAUUAUAACAAUGACUUCUUAGUAGUGAAGUGAUUAAGCUAUUCCACUAUUAAUAAUGCAUUAUUCUUAGAUUGAAAUGGUUCAGAAAUUUAAAAGCCAGAAUUGACUUAUAUAAAAUCAAUUUUUAAUUGGGUAGAUGUAAUUUGUAAAACAAAAAUGUUUAUAAAAAAAAAUUUCUCUUGAAAAUGUAUUCUGGUGCCAGGAUUUAAACCUGGAUGAAAACUCUUAACCGUAAGACUUUUUGUAGUGAGCAACACUGGACUAGUUGAUAGACUAUGAUGAAAUAAACCAUUUAAAUGUACUCCUUACGUUAUGCAGUGCGCAUACUGGAUAAACAAUUAGUGCACAUAAUGUGGUUAUCUGAUUUGUGGGGAAUGGUGAUGCUCACCGCUGACUUUUGGUUUACUGACAGGCUCUCAAAGUUAAAUAUAUCAGAUUUUGUUUGACAUUCGUAACAUAUUUUAAUAUUUUCACCACAACAACAACAACAACAACAAAGUCUUUUCCCACUAAGUGGGGUCGGCUAUAUGAAUCCUAGAACGCCAUUGCGCUCGGUUUUGUGUCAUGUCCUCUGUUAGAUCCAAGUACUCUAAGUCUUUUCUUAGAGUCUCUUCUAAAGUUUUCCUAGGUCUUCCUCUACUCCUUCGGCCUUGAACCUCUGUCUCGUAGUCACAUCUUCGAACCGGAGCGUCAAUAGGCCUUCUUUGCACAUGUCCAAAUCACCGGAACCGAUUUUCUCUCAUCUUUCCUUCAAUUUCGGCUACUCCUACUUUACCUCGGAUAUCCUCAUUCCCAAUCUUAUCCUUUCUCGUGUGCCCACACAUCCCACGAAGCAUCCUCAUCUCCACUACACCCAUUUUGUGUACGUGUUGAUGUUUCACCGCCCAACAUUCUGUGCCAUACAACAUCGCUGGCCUUAUUGUCGUCCUAUAAAAUUUUCCCUUGAGCUUCAGUGGCUUACGACGGUCACACAACACGCCGGAUGCACUCUUACACUUCAUCCAUCCAGCUUGUAUUCUAUGGUUGAGAUCUCCAUCUAAUUCUCCGUUCUCUUGCAAGAUAGAUCCUAGGUAGCGAAAACGGUCGCUUUUUGUGAUCUUCGCUAGAUUACUCCGGUCAUUAGCGUGGAUAAGUAUAUAAAUGGAUAGAGAUAGGAAAGCAAACACAAGAUGUACGUGGUUCACCCAGAUUGGCUACAUCCACGGAAUAGAGGAGUUCUCAUUAAUUGUGAAGGGUUUACACAAGUACAUAGGUUCAAGCUCUCCUUUAGUGAGUACAAGUGAAUGAUUUAGUACAAAUGACAUUAUGAAAUAUUGUGGGAGAAUGAUCUCGUAAUCAUGAAACUUCUAAGUAUCGGAGUGUGGUAUCGUCUUGACUUGCCUUAUCUGUCUCAUAGGUAGAUGUGGCAUCUUCUCUGGAAGUACUCUUCCUCCAUCCAUGGGUGGUAUCUUUAACUGGUGGAGAUGCAUAAGGUAAUGUAUCAAUUUCACUUGAAGCUUACUUGUAGUUUCAGGCUUGGUCAAGCGCGAUACAAACCAUGUAGUAGGAGUCCCCCAAGUCGCCGAGCUAGGGGAUUUGCUGAAAGAGGUGACAGACAAGGUAAGCAAUCAGAGCUCCGGCUGAUUGUUCACAUUCUCCCUAUCUUGCAGGCAGCAUGAAGGAUAAAGAGAAGAAAAAAUGAGAAGAGAUGAUAUGGGAUACUUUUGCUUUUGAAGAAGUAACUUUCCACAGGCUUAUUCUUGAACUGAAGCUGGAGGGUUUUCUGGUUUCCUCCAGAGUAUAAGGCCGACUGAAGAAUUUGAGGGUCAAAACAAGUCCAUCAAAUCUAGAGUACGUUCGACCCUGCUGAUAUGGGAUACUUUUGCUUUUGACAGAGUAAUGGAUGUAUCGGCACGUGUGCUGUUACGCUUGUCUCUCCACAUGCUUCCUUGUAUCCUUCUCACUUGCCCUAUCUGUUCCUCAAGGCAAGAUGCGGUAUCUUCCCUGGAAGCAUAAGAUGUUGAAGAUGAGUACUCGAGAGCAAUGCCAGGUAAGUAAUCAGGUAAGGGGUUCCAGGCAGUCAGUUCCUAGCUGGAAGCUUGAUUCCAAGUGCUGACUGAUUGCUCUCUUUCUCCUUGUCUUGCAGGUAAAGAACAAGGCCAAAGGAAAAGACAGGGAAAAAGCAUGAUAUGGGAUAUACUCUUGCUUUUUAACCCUGAUGAUAUGAGAUAUUCUUGCUCUAGUAUAGCUUGUUUGUAGAGGUAUUAUCGGGGGGAAAGAAAGCUGAAUAUUUCGAAAGGCUUCGUUGGGAGUGCCCUCUCAGAUAUGAGAAAGGGUUGAGCAUUUUUGCAGGUCUGCCUGUCCGUUGGGGAUGGAGGUCGACAUAUAUAGGAGUCUCCCUAAUAACAAGUAGUAAUGUUAUUCCUUUACCCUGCUUGGUCAUAGCACGAUAGUUGGAGCUGCCAGCUUCACAUGUUUUAACUCUGUCAGAGCACUUUGAAAAAGUGGUCUGUGGUAUCUGGAAAGCUGAUGUUGCGUGUGAAGAUUACAGACAAGCUUUACCCAAGGAGAUUUGGUUCUUGAAGUUGGGAAAAUGGUGCCUUUUCGGUUUUCGAACAAGCAAUCCUAUCGGGGAUCUGGCUCUCGAGAUUUGGAGAACGAUGCCUCUUCGAUUUUUGAGAAAGCAAUCAUGCUGGGGGUCUAGCUCUCGAGAUUCGGAGAGCGGUGUCUCUUCGAUUUUUGAGAAAGUAAUCAUGUUGGGAGUCUGGCUCUCGAGAUUCGGAGGACGGUGCCUCUUCGAUUUUGGAGCAAGCAAUCUUGUUGAGAAUGUUUUCUCGAAUGUGAGUAAAGGUUGGGCAUGUUUGCUAGUCUACCUUGCCACGAAGCACAGAGGUUGACACACAGGGACUUUCCAAUUAUCCAGCAAUGGUACUGUUCCUUUACCCUCUUUUCGAUUUUUGAGAAAGUAGGCAUGUUGGGAGUCUGGCUCUCGAGAUUCGGAGGACGGUGCCUCUUCGAUUUUGGAGCAAGCAAUCUUGUAAUCUUGUUGGGAGUGUUUUCUCGAAUGUGAGUAAAGGUUGGGCAUGUUUGCUAGUCUACCUUGCCACGAAGCACAGAGGUUGACACACAGGGACUUUCCAAUUAUCCAGCAGUGGUACUGUUCCUUUACCCUCGUGGGUAAUAAUAUGGUAGCUAGACCUUCAAAAUUUAUGUGUCUAAACUUUGUUAGUGUUGUUUCUUUGCUAUUCUUUUACCCUUCUUGGUCAGAGCGAUGUAGUGGGAGCUGCAAGCUUCACGUGCUCAACUUUGGCAGAGAACUUUGGUAAAGUUAUCUGUGGUACCCAUGAGCUACUGUUGCGUGUGGGAAGUGGGUGAUUGAACAGUAAGAUUCAUGUGCCUUCUACUUCACCAGAAGUCUUCGACAUAAUGCCCAUAAUUUCCGCAAAGCUGAGUGUGCGUGUGACAGGUGCUGACAAGGCUGGAAAAGUAGGUGCCUCUUUGAUUUCUGAGAUCGACCCUCAUGGUCUCUGAGCAGCCCAGCUUUUGAGAAAGCAAGCGCCUCUUCGAUUUCUGAGAUCGGCCUUCGUGGUCUUUGAGCAACCCAGCUUUUGAGAAAGCAAACGCCUCUUCGGUUUCUGAGAUCAACCCUCGUGGUCUCUGAGAGUAAAGGUUGGGCAUGUUUGCUAGUCUACCUUGCCAUGAAGCACAUAGGUUGACACAUUCGGAGAGCGGUGUCUCUUCGAUUUUUGAGAAAGUAGUCAUGUUGGGAGUCUGGCUCUCGAGAUUCGGAGGACGGUGCCUCUUCGAUUUUGGAGCAAGCAAUCUUAUUGGGAGUGUUUUCUCAAAUGUGAGUAAAGGUUGGGCAUGUUUGCUAGUCUACCUUGCCACGAAGCACAGAGGUUGACACACAGGGACUUUCCAAUUAUCCAGCAGUGGUACUGUUCCUUUACCCUUAUGGGUAAUAAUAUGGUAGCUAGACCUUCAAAAUUUAUGUGUCUAAACUUUGUUAGUACUAUUUCUUUGCUAUUCUUUUACCCUUCUUGGUCAGAGCGAUGUAGUGGGAGCUGCAAGCUUCACGUGCUCAACUUUGGCAGAGAACUUUGGCAAAGUUAUCUGUGGUACCCAUGAGCUACUGUUGCGUGUGGGAAAUGGGUGAUUGAACAGUAAGAUUCAUGUGCUUUCUACUUCACCAGAAGUCUUCGACAGAAUGCCCAUAAUUUUCGCAAAGCUGAGUGUGCAUGUGACAGGUGCUGACAAGGUUGGAAAGGUAGGUGCCUCUUCGAUUUCUGAGAUCGGCCCUCGUGGUCUCUGAGCAGCCCAGCUUUUGAGAAAGCAAGCGCCUCUUCGAUUUCUGAGAUCAGCCUUCGUGGUCUUUGAGCAGCCCAGCUUUUGAAAAAGCAAACGCCUCUUCGAUUUCUGAGAUCAACCCUCGUGGUCUCUGAGCAGCCCAGCUUUUGAGAAAGCAAACGCCUCUUCGAUUUUUGAAGCUCCGUCGAGUGUAUAUUUUUAUAGGGGCUGGCAUUAAGUUCCAAAGCACACUUGAAUCUCCACCAGUAGAAGCUCCAUUCUUGUACUUCUAAGAUCUUGAUUUGUCCGACUUCUUCUCUCUUCAACACCUUUGAAAAUGUCUGGCCCCUCCGACCGUCGUUUUGACUUGAACCUUGUUGAAGAUGCAGCCCCGCCUUCUCAAGACAACAUAUGGCGCCCAUCCUUCGUCUCCCCUACUGGUCCUCUUACCGUUGGGGAUUCCGUGAUGAAGAAUGAUAUGACCGUUGCGGUGGUGGCCAGGAACCUUCUCACUCCCAAAGAUAACAGACUACUUUCCAAACGGUCUGAUGAGUUAGCUGUUAAGGAUUCUCUGGCUCUCAGUGUUCAGUAUGCAAGUUCUGUGUCUAAUAUGGCCCAACACCUAUUUGCUCGAACCCGUCAAGUUGAAUCAUUGGCGGCUGAAGUGAUGAGUCUCAAACAGGAGAUUAGAGGGCUCAAGCAUGAGAAUAAACAGUUGCACCGGCUCGCACAUGACUAUGCUACAAACAUGAAGAUGAAGCUUGACCAGAUGAAGGAAUCUGAUGGUCAGGUUUUACUUGAUCAUCAGAGAUUUGUGGGUUUGUUCCAAAGGCAUUUAUUGCCUUCGUCUUCUGGGGCUGUAUCGCGUAAUGAAGCUCUAAAUGAUCAACCUCUGAUGCCUCCUCCUUCUAGGGUUCUGUCCAGUACUGAGGCUCCGAAUGAUCCCCCUCCGGUGCCUUCUCUUUCUGGGGCUCUACCGACUGCUGAGACUUCUCCUAAGCAACCUUUGUGAAGGCUCCCUCUUGUUUGUUUAUUUUGACUCAUGUAUAUGUAUGUGUAGCUUAUCGGGGAUAUCAAUAAAUAAGCUUUCCUUCAUUUCAACAUAUUGUGUUAAAUACACCAAAGCCUUCUUCGCUAAGUUCUUUGAAUUUUCUUUUGUUGAAGCUUGUAUGUUGAAACUUUGUGAGUGGAUCAUGUAGGUUAAGGUAGUGUUCCCUUAUUUUCAUCAAUAUUGAUAUUUUAAACAAUGACAAUUCUUAGAAUACUGGAAUUCAUGUCAUUUUCAUAAACAAAUAAAUGGUUAAGAAAUGUAUAUAUUAGAAAAUUAAGAGCCAGAUUUAACUAAUAUUAAAUCGAUUUUAAAUCGGGUAGUAAAACAAAAUUAGGAAUCUGUGUCCUUUUCAUAAAUAAAUAAAUGGUUACAAAAUUUAUAUAUCAUAAAUUUAAAAGCCAGAAUUGACUUAUAUAAAAUCGAUUUUUAAUUGGGUAGAUGUAAUUUGUAAAACAAAAAUGUUUAAAAAACAAUUCUCUUAAAAAUGGUAUUCUGGUGCCAGGAUUCGAACCUGGAUGAAAACUCUUAACCGUAAGACUUUUUGUAGUGAGCAACAUCAGAUGAGUUGAUAGAUUAUGUAACGCCCCGCGCCCGAAAUAUUUAUUUUCAUAAAAUAAUUCCAAUGAUAAGCCUAAAUUAAAUUUUUUAUUUACAUUACAACCAAUAAUCACGAUUCCUUAUUUAAUUUUCUUAAUCCCUCACAAAAACUAUAACCCAUAAUUAACUUACCAAAACAUACGAUUAAAUUUUCAUAAUUUGUCACCAACUUCUACUCUUAAAACAACUUCCCAACUAAAGAUUAAAUCUCAAUUAUUAAGGCUACAUCUAACUCUUGUUAGACUGCCUACAUACCCUUUAGCGGGAUCAAGGCUUUCGUAGUUCAUAAAUCCGUUUAAAUCCAUUCUUAUAGCCGUUUCUGAAAAUAUUCUAGAAUUGGAAAUAUUCAACAUUAGCUUUCACAAUCGAAUCACAUCAAAUGAUUACCAAUUAUGGAUUUAAAUUGUCUAAAUUAGUAUUAAAAGGCAGCGUCGGCCCACUGGCCACGCGCCACCACGGGUGGCGAUCUCCAGUGAUCGGAAACCCCAAUUUCCGACAAACUCUACAAAUUACCAAAUUUUAUAGGGUUGUAGAGUUCAAUUAUAGGAACAACUUUCAUACUUGGGACGAAGUCCAAUUCGGCCAAGAAAAGCCCCAAUUUCACUCAAUUCCGUCUGAACCCUAGAAUUUGGGUGUCCUCAAUUAGUCAUCUCCCGUGCCCCGCCGCCCCAAACAAGGCUUGGUAGAUGUUCCUGGGUUCACAAGGAGUCUAACCAUGGUGGUAGUCAAUGGUGGUGGCUUCACAAACGGGAGAUCGCAGAAACGGACCCAUCGCACCCACCAAUGUAGGUUUCACUAAAUUAAAGCAUAUUUCCAUCGAAAUUGGGAUGGAAUUGGUGAAGGUAUCAAUUGGUAUCGAAGGGAGGGUUAUUUUUGGCACCGUUCCCAUCAUCAACGAUGGUCGGAAUAAAAAACAAUGGUCAGGUCGGGUCGGCGGGUUGAAGGAAGGUCUGGUUCCCUUCUCUCCUUUCCCUCCCUACCUCCCCCUCUGGUUGGUCCGUGUCUCUCGCCUUCUCUCCUUCCCUUUCCAUCACAGCCACACACGUGGCUUCUCAGAUCCUUGCUCCAGCAAAUCUGGAGCCUUUUAGAUAUUGGUCAAAUGACCAUUUUACUCCUAACUUCAAUUGUUAAUAACUUCUUCGUUAUAACUCCGUUUCAUGAACGGUUUUCGUCUACAUGUUCGUAGGGCCAUCCUUUAUCCAAAUAUAUCAAGAAAUCCGAUAAAAUAUAUGAGGAUAAAAUACAUCCUUGUAUAAUUACGUCAAACUAGUUAGGGCAUUUUCUUCUUUUCUACUUAACGAUAAAUUUUACUACGUAAAUUAUAAAAUUUCCGGAAACAAAACUUUAAAAGUUCACAAUUUUUUUUUCUUUCAUAACCAUAAAUUGAUUUAUUGUCGAUUUUUCUUCACAUAUUCAUAUAUUUAAAUUUUCAGGGUAUUACAGAUUAUGACAAAAUAAACCAUUUAAAUGUUCUCCUUACGUUAUGCAUUGCGCAUAUUGGAUAAACAAUUAGUGCACAUAAUGUGGUUAUCUGAUUUGUGGGGAAAGGUGAUGCUCACCGCUGACUUUUGGUUUAGAGACAGGCUCUCAAACUUAAAUAUAUCAGAUUUUGUUUGACAUUCGUAACAUAUUUUAAUAUUUUCACCGUUAUUGAUAUUUUAAACAAUGACAAUUCUUAGAAUACUGGAAUUCAUGUCCUUUUCAAUUUUCAUAAACAAAUAAAUGGUUAAGAAAUGUAUAUAUUAGAAAAUUAAGAGCUAGAAUUGACUAAUAUUAAAUCGAUUUUAAAUCGGGUAGUAAAACAAAAUUAGGAAUCCAUGUCCUUUUCAUAAAUAAAUAAAUGGUUAAGAAAUUUAUAUAUCAGAAAUUUAAAAACCAAAAUUGACUUAUAUAAAAUCGAUUUUUAAAUGGGUAGAUGUAAUUUGUAAAACAAUUUUUUUUUUAAAUAAUUCUCUUAUAAAUGGUAUUCCGGUGCCACGAUUCAAACCUGGAUGAAAACUCUUAACCGUAAAACUUUUUGUAUUGAGCAACACCGAACGAGUUGAUAGAUUAUGACGAAAUAAAAACAUAAUAAUUUCUUUCAAACUUAGUGAAUAACCUUCAGAAAAUAAAAACACCGAACGAGUUCAUAGAUUAUGACAAAUUAGUGGAUAAACACCUUCAGAAAAUAAAAACACCGAACGAGUUCAGCGGUGAGCAUCACCAUUCCCCACAAAUCAGAUAACCACAUUAUGCGCACAAAGAAUCAAUCAAAACAUAAUAAUUGAAUGAACGAGGAUUUCUUUCAUUUUUUCCAAAUUUUCUGAAGGUUUUUUCUAUAAGAACUUUUCUCUGACCAAUGCUUUCUAACAUUUCAUCAUUUUUUUUUAAAUUACACAAAUUCUUUGCAUACAUUGUUGUUAAAAAGAAAAUUUCUAUUAUUAAGGAGAGAGUUCGAAACUAUUGAAUUAUGGAAGAUGGACUUUUGAACUCGAGACACGGGUAGAAACCUAACACCUAUCCACUAGGACAUUAGAUCACCAGAGGUGGUCCUGGUUUUUUGGUGCCGACUGCCCAUGAACACUCAAAAUGUGCUUUUUUCCAGUACAACAUAAAUUAAACUGAAAGAUUUAAAAAGGGCUGGAGCCAGUCGAAGCUGUUGGGACAUUCUUCCAAAGAGGGAGAUGAAAUCGUUGAGGCUCUUACAGAUCCCACGUCACUGUCUUCAUUCAGCAGUUUUCCUCCAUCUACAUCAACAACUGCACGUUGCUCAAGAAGGUACUUCUAAAAAUUGAAAGUCAAACGAUAAAUUAUUAAGAAACAUUGAAUAUAAGCAUGAAACAAAGAAAAUGUUACGGAAUGGUGAUCCUCAUCCUCAAAGAUGAUUAAAAGCAAUUUGAUUCAAAAAUGACAUAUCAACUCUGGAGAAAUGGAAGACAAACAUGUGGUACCAUAUUCGCAACAGAGGUUAUGAAAGCUGAAAUCGAUUGUUCCUGUGUGCAUUGAUAAGUAAGACUACCGUAGAGAUUCACAACUAAGUAAAGACAGGUAUUCCACAGAACAACCCUGACCUCUUUGGAAACACAGAUCUAACAAAAACUAAAACAUUUUGGAUUAAUAUUGACUAAUCAAGAAUAAUGCAAGGGAGCAAAAGAGAUACUCUUCCUUCUAAUAACAAGAAGGCAUAAAAAGUAUACAGAGUUCCAACAAUUAGAGAACUUAAAUCAAACUAAAAAAAUCACCAAAGUAGACAGAAUUUCACUUCGCCAAAAAUUUGAAAAUAUAUCCUUUUUAUCCACUGAGAAUCAUAAACUACUACUACUACAUCAUGCCAAUAAGCAAUGCGUAAGAGGUGCUACAAUUUACCAAUAUAUUUACCCUGAGAACAAGUUUUGAAAUCAUCUCUAGUGUUAACAGCACCUUGCGUCCUUGGGUAAGCUGAGUCCUAGUAUCAAGUAAAGAGACCAAUCAGUACAUAUCCAAAAGAUCUUAAAUGCUUGUAAUACCAAAUAAGAAAGAAACAUGAGUAUAUCUUGAGUUAACCAUGCAAAAAUGUAAUGUUAAGGCAUCUUGUCAUACAGACCUCUUCAAGGUACCAGAAAUUUUUGCACUAAAGAUGUCACAAGCGGCUGAUAUGAAGCUGCAUUUUCUGUGAGUUGAGAUUUUGUCAAUAUAAUCGAUCACCUGAAGAGAGAGAGAGAGAGAGAGAGAGAGAGAGAGAGAAAGACAGUGAUAUCCAGAGAUGUGAGCCUAAAGGCUGAGUGUGUAAAAAAUAAGAUUAAAUGGAUAGCAAGAAUAUACAACUUUAAUGCCGAAAAGAACAUUAUAUGAUGCUCAUUCAUCAUUGCCAUUGAACGUGUACCUUCUUCUUUUCCUCUUUCUCAAAAGGAAGUAGACCCUUGAAGACUUGCCUAUAUGAUCCAUCAUCACAACCAGGCAAAGUCAUUUUAAUCAUAGCAACAAUGGCUCUAACUACCUGCCAUAAGAAACAUGCUACAUCAACAAGAUCACAGAGUGUACCAGAAACCGUAAUGUAGCAAAAUCUUAGAUAGAAUAGCUGGCCAAAAGGGAAUGGAAAAGCAAGCACAAAAAACAAUGAAAAGGACCAGUGAUGCCAAAAUUCAGGUGUUUAUAACUUUAAGUUCUACGUAGCAAAAACCACCUUAUGCACAACAAUAUUGGAAAAAUUAGAUACAUACAACUGAGAAGAUAGGUUUUCAUAAUCUGGACAAGUGCUAACUACCUUCUUCCUAUAAACUGCCACUCCAUGAACAUUAAAUGGUAUUUUCGUUUCACGCAAGGCUGUCUGGAAGACUUUUCCUGAUACCUGUAGUAUAAAAUACAAAAGAAAAUGUGACCAAAAUGUCUUAUAUGAUUCACCUCAUUCACAUUAGCACUAGGGCAAGCAAGCUUGACCUGCCUCCGGUAAAGGAUUGCUAUAUUUCCAUAGGAGCACCCUGCUUCUGACAGUUAGAUGCAGUCUCCAGGAUCUUGUCGACAACAAAGGCGCAUUAUGCAUCCUCAUUGUGACUUUCCUUGAUAAUUACCUACAUUUUGCCAGUAAAACCAGUGUCACUAACUAAAAAGACUGAAAAAUGACAUCAAAUUGUACUUGUUGGAGCAAGGAAAGAUUAGGUACAUUAGACCCAGAAGAAUUGUCGGUGUCAACAUUCUUUAGUUGGCAUCACUUCUUAUUGUUUUUUAUAACAGAAGAUGCAGCUUCCACAAUAUAGCGUGUGGACCGAUAGUUUUUAUUAAGCCUAAUCUGAACCAUAAAGUUAUGUCAAAUCCCACAGAACCCCAUAAAAUAAAACUUACUUUCCUGUAAUUAUACAAUAUAUUUGUUCUAUACUAUAUAUAAUGAAAAAAGACACUGAAUGACAUAAGAUAAACAUAGCAGUUAAGUGCGAAGGAACCUCUUUGUAAUUUGAAAAAUCUUUACAAAAAGAAUCAAAUCCAGAACUGUCCGCCCCGUUGAAACUGAAAAUGGACUGCAGCAGGAUAUAUGUUAUUUGAUUUAGAACAGAUAAGGGCUGGAUUAGAAUGAGCUGAGAGAGAGAGAGAGGGAGAGAGGGAGCAAUAAGAUUGGAUUUCCAUAAUAAAUCAACAACAUGCCUGAUCAUCAUCACCAACAAUGGUUAUGUGGUUAUGAGAGGCGAGAAUCCGCAAAAGACUAUACUGCAUAGCACUUGUGUCUUGAAACUCGUCUAUUACAAUAGCUUUCCAUGACUCCUGGCACUCCUCCGACACUAAUUAAGAGAACACCAUGUAUCAACAUUUAGCAUUACUUGUAAAACUAGAUAAAUCAAUUUAAUAUACUUAGAUGAUAGAGACCUUCAGGAAAAUCACUUAGCAGCUAAUUAAGUCAUGGUAGUCCAAAGCGUUGCACGAUUCCUAAGAAUUUCACCCUGAUUCAGAUUGAGAUCUAAAACUCAUAAGCAAUAGUUUCAGAGAACUGAAAUGAUAACUGAAAUUCUAGAACUGAAAUGAUAACUGAACAACAACAAAAACAACAACAAAGCCUUUUCCCACUAAGUGGGGUCGGCUAUAUGAAUCCUAGAACGCCAUUGCGCUCGGUUUUGUGUCAUGUCCUCCGUUAGAUCCAAGUACUCUAAGUCUUUUCUUAGAGUCUCUUCCAAAGUUUUCCUAGGUCUUCCUCUACCCCUUCGGCCUUGAACCUCUGUCCCGUAGUCACAUCUUCGAACCGGAGCGUCAGUAGGCCUUCUUUGCACAUGUCCAAAUCACCGGAACCGAUUUUCUCUCAUCUUUCCUUCAAUUUCGGCUACUACUACUUUACCUCGGAUAUCCUCAUUCCCAAUCUUAUCCUUUCUCGUGUGCCCACACAUCCCACGAAGCAUCCUCAUCUCCGCUACACCCAUUUUGUGUACGUGUUGAUGCUUCACCGCCCAACAUUCUGUGCCAUACAACAUCGCUGGCCUUAUUGCCG
This 82020-nucleotide long non-coding RNA is filed under the name Malus domestica (apple). RNAcentral describes it as "long non-coding RNA (MDOM_LNC007125)". Lineage: Eukaryota; Viridiplantae; Streptophyta; Magnoliopsida; Rosales; Rosaceae. The record is from RNAcentral.